GAGGAUCUCUUUGUAAAAGCCUAUAAUUGUGAGGGCAUCAGAACAGAUACAAUCGAACCUAUUUCCCUCUGUUGAAGGCUUGUGCCUCUUCUUCUCUUCUCCCUCAUCUCUAUUCCAUUCUCCUCGCUUCUUCUUUUCCUUCUAACUUUGCCUUUAUGACUCAUCUUUCGCAUAUCUACCUUGCCGGAGAAAAGUUCUUCCAAUCCAAUUAUUCAUUAUUACUGCUCAGUUAUUGACGUGUAUGUAUACAGUAGUGUAGGAAACCUGUUAGCUUUCACCUUCCUAAUCGGUGUUGUACAAAUAAGAAGUAACUCCUAGCUAAGGUAAACAAAAGUAUGGCCGUACAUUAAAGAAUAAUAUCUUUCUUGGCUUGUCUAUAUUUCUGUCAACCUAGAUUAGCUUUGUCUUGUUCGUAACUAAUAUGCUUACAUCAUUGAUUAACACAUUCUCUGUUUUCUUUUCUUGCCUUUUGUAGGAUUAUGUUGGCAAUAAGAGAUUAGAGCUGUCUGGCCAGUUAAUUUCUUUACUGUUUGAGGUAUUUGGUUCUAUUUUGUAGUUGGUUAUCAUCAUCCUAUCCUCUAAAAUUGUGUGUAACAGGUUAUCUGAACCUUUUGCUGCAGGACUUGUUUAAGACGAUGAUCACAGAGACUGUAAAAAACAUCGAUGGCACGCUCAAGAAACAAAAUCGAUCUAGCCGUUUCGAUCCUUCUAUGGUCGGUUUUCCGUUAUUUGGAUAAAUUUAAGUUUGCUAGGUAUAUUUUUAGAGAGUUGAAGUCUGACUGGGGGUAGGUUAAAAAAAAAGGUUGAGUGCAUAACACACUACAUGAUUUCUGAAAUGGAAAAAGAAGGCCAUUCUAUACUGGGUUUUAUUUCAUAAUCAAGAUUAAGUUGGAUGGUUACUUGGUGCUUGCUGAUUUGACGUGAUCUUUGACUGAUCCCUGCCUAUUGUUUUUAUCUUCACUCUAGUUUUUACUCAGAACCAAUUCUGAACGUGGGAUUAUUACAAAUGGGCUGGAAAGAGCCCUCUCCACUGGUAAUUGGGAUGUCAAGCGCUUUAAAAUGAACAGGAAAGGAGUUACACAGGUUGCAUUCUGAAAUAAAUGUUAGUUUUGUAUCUGUUAACUACCUCUUCUCUUAGUAUCAUGUCUGUUAACGGAGUCUCUUGUGUUUGAAAGGUACUUGCUAGGUUAUCUUUCAUAGGUUCUUUGGGUUACUCGACAAGAAUCUCACCACAAUUUGAGAAGUCGAGGAAAGUGAGUGGACCUAGAGCAUUGCAACCUAGUCAGGUAAUAAAGUAACCUCCUGUCCAUUUAACUUAAAUUGUAUGAGAUCAGAAUUACAUUGAGUGAGAUUUUAUCCGAGUUGAGUUUGUCAUCUAAUGGAGGUGAUUCUUACACAUUUGUUGCAGUGGGGCAUGCUUUGUCCUUGUGAUACUCCAGAAGGUGAAGCUUGUGGGCUGGUGAAGAACUUGGCCCUCAUGACUCAUGUUACCACUGAUGACGAGGAUGGCCCGUUAAUUUCCCUUGUAUGUCCUUCUAACUAUUGUUGCUUUUGCUGAAGGAAUUUUGGACCAAUUCAUUUAUGUCUUCCUCUUCACCAUUGGUUGUACCUGUCUGUUUGUAUAAUUUACAAGGCACCACUAACAUUUGCGUAUGAAUGAUGUGGAAUUCUUGCCGUCUUGCAAAAGUGCUAUUGUUUAGGUGUUGAGGACCUGGAGCUUCUUACUGGGGAAGAACUCCACACUCCAAAUUCUUACUUGGUUAUAUUCAAUGGACUGAUUCUUGGCAAACACAGGAGACCUCGGGUAAACUAGUACUAAUUGUGAUGUUUAUAUGUGCAAAUAAUUUAGGCAUUUUAUGAUGAACAAUUGUUAGCCUAUUAUUCCUUGAAGGCUAGCUAAGUAGGACUAAGAUCUGAAAUAUUCUAAAUAAGCUAAGUAGAUAACGUAAACAUAACUGAGCGAUAGUUAGCUACUAUCCACUAUGUCUCUACAAUAUGAUUGUUAGAUGUUUAUAAUAAGCUAUUCUAUACAUCAGUAUUGUAUGGACAUGGUAGUUUGUAUUUCCAUUUUAAUGUUAGAUUGUAUAUUGCACACUACAUUAUUAAUUAAGAGAGUUAAACCAGAGGAAAACUUCUUCUUUAGUGACUAAUUAAAGUGAUCAUUGACCCGUUUAAUUAAUUCAAUCUCAUACUGAUGCUUGAAACACUUUUGUUUUAGCAUUUUGCUCACGCAAUGAGAAAGUUACGAAGAGCUUGCAAAAUUGGCGAGUUCGUAAGCAUUUUUGUGAAUGAAAAACAGGUAAAUUCUUCUGCAUGUACUUAAUGUUGGGUGUAAACUCUUAUGCAUUUACCUUGGGAUAUUAUUGCAUCUUGGUUUGUCAUUCUGGUGCCUACGGCUUAGAAUUUGACUAUUACAUAGUUUGGGUUCUAUACAGGUUAAUCUCUCUAAUUUCAGUUGAUCAACUUUCUUGUUGGGAUUUAUGUAAUAGCUGAUCUAAAUGAUCAAUACAUAUCUUGUCAGCGCACUGUUUAUAUUGCUUCUGAUGGUGGGCGGGUAUGUCGUCCGCUGGUUAUUGCGGACGAAGGCAAAUCAAGAGUCAAAGAGCACCAUAUGAAGGAGCUUUCGGUGAGUUUAAUUGAAUACAUGUUAGCGUCAAUGUCUAGCUGACAUCUAACUGAUCUCUUCUCCCUUUUAAGGAUGGCGUACGGACAUUUGAUGACUUUUUACGAGAAGGGUUGAUCGAGUAUCUUGAUGUCAAUGAGGAGAAUAAUGCUUUGGUCUGUUUCUCUUGCAACAACGUUGUGCACAUCUAGUUGUUUUGAGGCCUAGUGUUUUCUGGGCAAGUUUUUAGACUCCAAAGGAUAAUGGGGUAAUACUCUUUACACAGAUUGCUUUAUAUGAAGGGGAAGCUACACCUGAGACAACUCACAUCGAGAUAGAACCUUUCACCAUACUAGGUGUUAUUGCUGGGCUGAUUCCAUACCCUCAUCAUAAUCAGUCACCAAGAAAUACAUAUCAGGUUAUGAUUUUGUUUCCCAUUUUGUACAGACUAAUGCCAGCCUCUAUGUUCCAGCAUAUAGUGGUCUGGGGCGGAAUCAGGGGUGAAUCCCGAUUCACCCCUUCCCUGAUUUAGUGUAUCGAAAUUCUAUGCAGAUUUUGAAGUUUUAGUAGUUCGGCUCAUUGUAAAUUUUGAAUUCCGCUCUGCUUUUUGAAGUUUGGUUCAUUGUUUAUUGAAAUUCCCCUCAAUGGUCUUUCAUUCGACUCAAAGAUAGACUAGUAGUUGUAAUCUCACUUUUAAAUGUCAAUUAAAAUAACAAAAUCCAAAUUUAAAUUAAAACAACGGCUCAUCCCAAUACAAAAUUUAUAUACUUUUAUGUUAGAUUUGUCAAAAAAAAUUAUAUUACUUUGGCUCAGUGUACCCCUCAUUCCUGGUUCCGUCCUCGAAGUGGGUCACCUUGUUUCAAUCGCGCCCACAUACUUAGUUGCUUAGGUUUGGGAUACUUAAUAUCGUUGAUAGCAAUGUGUAUUGAUAUGUAAUAGUGACAUGUGCUACUCUUGUUUUGACUCGUUAACAGUGUGCAAUGGGAAAGCAAGCAAUGGGGAACAUAGCAUACAAUCAGGCAAGUGAUUGAAUUGUAUACCUUCUAGUUGUUUAAUGAACAAUCCUCAUUGACACCCUCCGCUCUAGUUAGGCAGAGAAACUCUUGGUGCAGUGUUCCUUUUUGGAUCUCACCUAUGUUUUUAUUCGAUAUUCUCUUAGUAGCCAUAGCAAGGAAUGGUAUAGUGUGCCCCAUGCAGUGAAAACCAAUUUCCAUUAUUCACUUAGAAGGCACAAGCCAAGUGGGUAGGCCAAAGAUCCAAAUGAUAAUAAGUGCAUGCAUUUCCAUGUCUACCUGUACUUGAUGGAUUACAGUUCUUCUUCUCUUCAGGAUGCAACACAACUCUGCAUGAUAAAUAGUUGCAAAUUUUCAUUAUGCUUAUAACGGCUUUUCUUCUUUCUUUUCCUUUUUGUGUGUUUCGGGACUUUAUCUUGUUUCCACUAUUCAAUUCUUUUAUCUCUCAGCCUCAUUGUGAGAACUUCUCGUGUUUUUCAGUUAUGUCGAAUGGACACACUACUCUACUUGCUCGUGUAUCCUCAACGUCCUUUGUUAACGACAAGGACUAUUGAACUGGUAAUUUUAUGUGUAAAACAGAUAACAUUUCUCACCAACUGUCCUGUGGUUGGUCUUUUGGUUAGUCUUUUAAGGUUUUCUUAAGUGGGGGAAUAUCUCUUUCCUUUUUAGGUGGGAUACGAUAAACUUGGAGCUGGCCAGAAUGCAACUGUUGCUGUAAUGAGCUAUAGUGGCUAUGACAUAGAAGAUGCAAUUGUCAUGAACAAGUCGUCUCUGGAUCGUGGUUUUGGUCGCUGUAUAGUCAUGAAGAAGUAUGCUGCUUUUCCAUGGUUUAUAUGUACCUAUAAUUUAUCUCGUGCAUUACUGGCAUUCAACUACACGUUGGAUGAGUCUCUACUGAGGUAACCUUUUCUCUAUUGGCAGGCAGUCCUGCAUCAUGAUUCGCCAGUAUGCUAAUAAGACUUCAGAAAGGAUAGUAAAGCCACGGAGACUAGAUAACAAGGACAAGGAGAGGGUAAGCUAUUUGCUACUCAAUUAUCCAUUACACGUGCAUCAGAGCUGGGAAGUUCCACCGUACAUGAAUAUGCUGAUGAGAAAUGGCCUUCAAGUCGCACAAUUAUGUACAAUAUAUGUAUUAAGAGGUGGUCUGGAAGGUGAAAUCGUAGGUAGAAAGAGGGGUAAAUAAAGAGUUUGAUAAUCGAGGGAGCAUUGUCCUUGUUUCUUGAUUGAUUCACUAUGGAAUAGAGUAUACAGCAUAUAUACAGGUCCGUAGACAGAGACCUUCCUAAUCUACAUAAUCAGGAACUACCUUAUUUACAUAAUCUUUUUUUUUAAAAUAAUCUAUUAACUAAUAGAAUGAAUAAAUCGGGAAAGACAAUUCUCCCGUUUAUUCUCCACAGUAAACUUAAAGAAUGAGUUUGAAGUAACACAUUAUGAAUCUUUAUAGGAGUUCAGAAAAAAAUACAGGAGGAAUGGUUUGAACUUCCAUAUCCGAGAAGGGUUUGGAAGAUUGCGUAGUAUUUAUAGUGCAAGUAUUUUUCAUUUUUUCAGGUCUUAGAUGAAGACGGAAUCGCUGCUCCUGGCCAAAUAAUUCGAACAGAUGAUAUUUAUGUCAACAAGGAGACUCCAGUUGAAACCAGGACUGGAUCUGCAGUUGAUAUGUACGUAGUCUGUGAACCUAAUCUGACUAUCUCCUUCAUUUAGUCUUAUUAAUGUCUACUGUUACGUAUAGGAAAUAUCGACCUAGCAUGCAAAGAUACAAAGGGCCUGCAGGGGAGUCAUGUGUGGUUGAUCGUGUUGCUCUGUCUACUGGCAAGGAUGGCAAUUUGUCUAUAAAAUUAAUUAUUCGUCAAACUCGUAGACCAGAGGUAAGGAAAUUUUUUCUUCAAAGUUUGAUGUAAAUUACAAAUUUGGGUAUGAUAUGCUAAUUCUAUUUGUUUAUCAGUUGGGUGACAAAUUUAGUAGCAGACAUGGUCAAAAGGGUGUCUGUGGAACUAUCAUUCAACAAGAAGAUUUUCCCUUCUCUGAACGUGGGAUCUGCCCUGAUUUAAUUAUGAACCCACAUGGAUUUCCGAGGUAUUCCAUCAAUGCUUGUAAUUCUCCUUGCUGUCUGUAGAUUUUCGUUUCAUUUUCCCAAGAUCAAUCUUUGCAUAACUCUUAUCUAGUUAUAUGACCGAGACAAAAGGCAGGAUGUAAAAAAAUGGAGGAAAUUGAAGAAGGGGAAAUAUUAUAGGCUGAGAAAUGGGAUAGUUAUUCUUUUCUUUCUCUCUUCUUUUUUGUUCAUUUGUUAGUGUAUGCUAGCACAAGAAACCUCAUUUUCUUACAUCUUGUAGAUAUGCUAUGAUAUGAUAACUGAGUCACCUCCUGUGAUGAACAGUCGGAUGACAGUUGGGAAGAUGAUAGAGCUUCUUGGAGGUAAAGCUGGAGUUUCUUGUGGUAGAUUCCAUUAUGGCAGUGCAUUUGGAGAACCAAGUGGUCAUGCAGACAAAGUUGAUGCCAUAAGGUAUACUACGUUCUCUCUGCUACUUUUAUUACCUUGAAGUAUUGAUGCUCAUUUACUAUUUAUCUUAUUGUACUUUAUGGCAGUGAAACUCUCGUCAGGCAUGGCUUUAGCUAUAAUGGCAAGGAUAUGAUCUAUUCAGGUUUGUUGUCUUUACCUUGUCCUUUUUAAUGAAGUCUUCCUCUGAGUUGUUAUGUCCACGAUGAACCAAUCCAUUUGAUUAUCAUCCAAGUAAAAAUACUCUGUAUGUUCGAAAGCCUGUGGUAUGGGAAUAGUACGCAUAGUAUAGUUCUUGGGAAAAUGCUGGGGUUAAGGUUUUAUUGUGAUUGGUGGUAUCAGAAGUCAUUCUUGCAUUCAAACACCUACCUCAAUUAGUUAGACUAUGAAACUUCGUGAUAUUGAAACCACCUAUUCUAGGCUUUGGUGUGGUUUAGUUGGGGAAAAAAAUUCGGUCGUCUGCUAUGGUUUAGUGUAAUGAGCAAACGUUGGAUUUACGCAAUGGUCGAUAAGGUCAUGGAUCAGUAUAGUUGUAGAGAUGUGACAGUUUCUAGAGACUGUGCCUCUCUGUCUGUUUUUGUUCAUCUCGUAUCUUAUGGGUAUUCUUGUAUGGGUUGUCCUAACUUAUCUGAAUUUACUCCAGGAAUAACUGGUAGUCCACUUCAAGCGUAUAUAUUCAUGGGACCCAUAUACUACCAAAAGUUGAAACAUAUGGUAAGAGUUUGAUGUUUCCCAAAGUCCUAGUAGAUCUUCGUUGUUCAUGAUUCUUGUAUUUGUGAUGACUAUUAGGUCUUAGAUAAAAUGCAUGCCAGGGGUUCAGGACCCCGGGUUAUGCUUACUAGACAGCCCACUGAAGGAAGAGCUCGAAACGGAGGUAUCGAAUACCUUGUUCAAGAUUGUUUCUCAGUUUUACUUCAUAGGAUGGAGCAUUUAUCAUGCUUUCGUGUUUUCAGGACUGCGAGUUGGAGAAAUGGAACGUGACUGUCUGAUUGCAUAUGGGGCUAGUAUGCUGAUUUUUGAGCGCCUGAUGGUUUCAAGUGAUCCAUUUGAAGUUCAGGUGGUUAAUACUUCAAACAAAUAUCAUUCUGUUAAUCUACAUUAGCAUAACUCUUUUGAAGUCACUAAACCGUAUAAGAUAAAUGGAUAUCCUGAAUUUUUUUUUGCUUGGUUAAAACACAAGUAACCUGCCUGUGACAAAUAGGAGGGAAUUGAAUCCUGUAAUAUUGUUUGUUUCAAAGAUGAAAACAGGAUUGGUUGUAUCUUAGCAUUGACUGGAGCUGGUUGAUACAUUGACAUUUUUCUUUUGAUUAGUGCUGCAAAAAUUACUACGCAUGAACCUUGGUUAUAGUUGACAUUGUUCCAAUAUAUUUUAUGUAGGUUUGCCAAGUCUGUGGUUUGUUAGGAUAUUACAGCCACAAGCUGAGAAGUGGGUUUUGUACGACUUGCAAGAACGGAGAAAAUGUUUCAACAAUGAAACUACCCUAUGCUUGCAAGCUUUUGAUUCAGGUAGCAUUUCUUUCUGCACAUGUUAACGAUGUUUUGUCGUAGCGUCCGAUGCGCGUUAGGGAUAGCUUUCGUUGGCUUGUCUAAUGAUAAAGUCUGCUAUUUCAGGAACUUCAAUCAAUGAACAUUGUACCGCGGCUUAAACUCCAGGAGGCAUGACGAAUUUGAUGGUGUUUGUCUGAAGAAUGGCUAAAUACUUGUCAAUACACAUAAAGAAAGGUCUCCACUCCCUCUUAGCUUUGGAGCUGGGUUUCGUAAGUGUCGUUUGUCUUUUUGGUUUUAGCAAAAUAGAGAUAGAUUCCUCUGCUAUUAGUUUCCCUCAUGUAAUGUAACACAAACUAAAGAAAGCUUCAUCCCAGUAGGCUUUUAGCUGUUAGUAAUGCCUUGAUGGUGAUGCUUUAUUCAUUGUCUAGACUGCUUCAGGUAUCGGACAAGUCUAGCUAGAUAGAUGCAUUUCAUUUCGUCUUUUUCUUACUUGCCCUGUUUUCCCGGCAGGAUGAAUAUACCGUUUUUUCGUUGGAGUAAACCUUUCAGUUAAUACAAAAUAGAAAGGCAAAUACAUAUUAUAACUGCUUUCAUUCUUAAGGCGUGUCGUAUCUGAUUUCGACAUCCCCGAAUUGCUAAUACACAACUCUGUUGUCUGGCGACUCUACUUAAACCGUGGAUGAAUAUUACCCAUAUAUCAAGAAGUGUUACAAGUUACAACAAAAUCAAUGAUUCAUUGGGCCUUUUCAAAAAUUGGGCCUUUAGUGAAGGCCCACUUUCAUCGCCACGAAUACGAUUUACCAAUUUUCAUCCAUUCAAGCAGCCAGUCCUCUGAGUAAAGUUUUGAUAACUUGGAACGACGAAGAUGAGACUGCUCACUCACAACAUGCUCUCCUCCAACAUCAAGGGAGUCGACAAUGGCUUCCCACUGGUUAUCCAAGCCCAGAAAGCGAUACAAAAGGAAGCCGAUCUCAAUCCGGACUUCCUCCGUAACAUCUUCCCCAAGAUCGAGUGGAGAGCCCUGGUGGACGCCGCCCGUGCCGUCGGAUACACGGAGUUGCCGGAGAAGACGGAGGGUUCGAUGUUGGAUUCCGAUGAUUUCUUGGCGAAGUUCCACCACGCGCUACUUGAGAUCCACCUCGAGGAAAGCUCGUUGGUCUGCCCAGAGACCGGCCGGCAGUUCUCCGUCAGUAAAGGGAUCCCCAAUAUGCUUCUCCGCGAAGACGAGGUUUGAAUUUAUUCGUAGCUCAUGUCCGUGGACCGCCGGCGGCGGAAAUACCGAAAUAGUAUUAUCCUGAGGUUGCUCAUUUUUGGGUGUGAAGCUGUGUGAUUUAGGACUCAUUUUGGAGGAGUAAUAUAAUGUAUUAUUUGAAAAUGACGUGGUAUUUGAUAAACGAAAAAGAGAUAUAUUAAAUAUUUGGUUAAUGAAUUCAUUCAAUAUGAUACUCGAUAAGAGAAGGAUAAAAUACUCAAAAUGGUGCAAUAUUGCAUUAUUUCAAAUAUAUGGGAAGGUGUUUGAAAAAACUUGAAAGUUUGUUAUUUCAUAUACCAUAGAUUUUUUUGAGAUGCCAAACACCACGGAGUUCUUUGGGAUGCUAGAUAAGACGAUCAAAAUAUCUCAUCUAAACAACAAACAUAAAUAUGAAAUACUUGGUCUAGGUGAGAUGAAGGAGAGAUUGGUGAAAUUAAAGGUCAAUGAUAUUACUAAUCUUAUUAUAAACAGAUAUCUACAAGCACUAGGGAUUAGAGAUGCAGAGUACAGCCAGCCAACUAGUAACAGAAGAAAGGGACUAAUUGGGCGUUGCUGUGUUAGAUUUUGAUCUGAUUCCAUCAUGUUAAUUACCACCUACUGAUCUCUAAGAUGUUAACUUACUAACAGUCGCAUUAUGUUAUCUCUUAAUAGUUCCAGAACGGCCAAACCAGUGCCUCCCUCACUUGGCUGGUUUACUGAACUGUUUCCGCCUCUUUGCUGCAUGAACGAUGAAAUCCAUCACCACUUGAGCUUCGUCCACUCGCUGCUGCAAUUUUGCCAAGACGAGAGACGAUUUACGUUAAGAGACACUUUCGUUAAGAAUUGAAGAGGAAGGAAAGAAAGAAUUAGAGAUUGCAUGCAAAACAAACCAUUGAACUGAAAUGGUGUUGCACGCUAGCAAGCAUCUGUUCCCUUGUUGAAUAACAGUUGAUCCCAGGCUGGAUUUUUCGAGAUAGGAUCGAGUCAGCAGCAAAUUAGUAUUUCAGGGAACUAACUAACUAACACGGAGUAAUCAACUAAAAGAAAUUUGUACUCACUAGCUUGUAAUGUCUGCAAUAUCUCCACAAGGACUCCUUCCCCAGUUUUACCAGGCUCACCUUCUGCAACCGAAAAAUGCCAUCCAUUUAGAGACCUAAUGAUUUCGAUCACUGUAACGGAAAGGGAGAAAGGUUUGAGGAUGCUUACUGCCCGAGAAGUGUGGAUAAUUGACUGAACAUCUCUAUAACCGAUACGAGUUGCGGACUUUGCUGGAUAGCACGGCCUUGCUGACCGAGCUCUUGGCCUGCUGAAUUUGGUGAACUCACCUCCGCUAGCUGGAAAUCGAAAUGCCGAGGAGAGCAUAAGUAACAUCGAUAAAAACAUAUAGAUGAUAUUCAGAAGAAGUGCCUUUCGUAACAUACAGAAAUCAUGGUCCUUUUCACCAAUGUCAGAGCCACUGCUGAUAUCAAAAUCAUAUUCGUCAUCCACUUCGUUCCCCGUCGGAUGUUCAAGGACGCUGAGUGCAUUCCUCUGCAGCUUCACUUCAACCCCAUUUUUCAAAACCUUGCAUUCCAAACCAAAACACUAAUCAAUAACCUCUGCCAAUGGGAGUAGAUGAUUGGCAAGAACUCCCAGCUAGGGUUUUGAAAGAAAAAGACAUAGACAUAAGAAAACAAAACAGGAUAAGAGGGAGCCCUAAAAGCUGACGAGAUCUGAUCAGAUUCAUCCAAAGAACGAACAUCAGCAUAUCUUCUGUACAGAAUAAGGGAACAGCUAGCCAAUGCAAAACAAAAACACUUGAUGAACCCCACUGAGUAACGCCCUGCAAAAUCCCACUUUUCUUCUACCAAUUCAUUAUUAUUUAAUCUGGCAAUUAAAUUCAAAUUCAUCAUCUGCUUGGAUAAGAUGUGAUCCCUAAGGAACCCGAAUCCAUAAAGUAGUUGAAAAUACAAAUGCUUUAGUUUUACAGUCUAAAAGCAAAUUGCAUGUCAUCCAUCACACAGAUUUUGAACCAAUAUAAGUUUCACCUAAUCAUCAAACUUUGGUGGGUAGAUAUUUUGACUGAUUCAGCAAGCAAACAAAAACCCCCCCUUCGUCCACUCAAUGUCAAAGGAGCGUGAAUUAAGGAUCCAAAUUAAAAGAUUAUCUAAUACUAUCAAGCAUGAAAUGAUUUGAUAGAUUAGCAAGAUUAGAACUUUGAGCAAUGGGAAAGGGAAGAAAGUACCAGCCAAUGCCAACCUCCAAGGCCAACAGCCUUCUUGACGACGCCUUGCAAGCCCACAAGAACAGACUUUGUUCUGUUGUUACCAGUGACAAUGACCUUUGUGUGCCUUGGCAGAACUGAUAGCUCAUCAUCACCACUCUCCUCCCUCUCUCUGAACAAUGGUGAAACUAUCCUCCUAGAACAAACCUCACUCCCCAGCAUCCUUCUCCUUUUUCCUUUCUUUGUAAACCCCUUGUAAUAAUAAUAAUUCACAAACCUUCAAUCAGCCCUCCACAUCGAAAUAAGGGGUUUUUGCUAAUUGGCUUAGAUACUGCUGUAAACAGGAGCAAUUCCCAACAGCUGUGAGUUGCAAAAUUCCAAGCUUGCAGUCGGGGCCAGAGAACCUGAAGAAGAAAGAAGCAAUGAGACGAGUGUCAGUCAGAAACCAAUCCCAAUAUUUUUUAAUUAUUGUCAUUAGCAUCAAAGAAUUUAAUACUACUACUGUGUGAGUAUGAGAGAGAGAGAGAGAAGGCUCAAUGUUUGGAAUCACUAGCGAUUCACGGACUAGAAUUGAAAGCAAUAAAUGAAGCACUACUACUGUUUCUUUUUUCAAUUCAUAUCAGAAGAACAGAGCUUAUCCUUUGUUCAAAUAGAUUCCAGAGCUAUUCCAAACUAGCAACAAACAACCAAAUCAUCCCCUUCUUCUCCUGCAUGAACCAGAACCCAUCUCUUUUCUUUUUUAAUCUUUCUAACUUCUGGAGAGAUUGAUCAAUUUGACAGAAUGACAAUCCUCGCGGAUUGAAGAAAUUGGAGUAACCAUAAGCAUAAGCAUUUCAUUCAAACAGAAACAAAACAGAAAAAGUGGAGCUGAAGAUAGGAAAUUUCGGAGAAAGAAACAAUUGAAGCUACCUGGCGGAAAGAAUGCAAGCAAAUUCCCGGAAGAGUUGUUUGUUUGGGAGCAAGCAGCAGCAGCAGAGACUAAUCGCCGGGGAUAUUGAAACGGAAGGCUGCAGAGAGUGCAGAGCACAGGUAUCGAGGCAGAGCAAAGGAAUGAGUGAGAAAUGGAGAAUAGAUGAAGAAGAAAAAAGAAAAAAAAAGCUUGAGAGAGAGAGAGAAUGGGUGACACAGACACACUAUAAAUGCAGAGUACCAACUGCCAUGGGAGUGGGGACUCUUGCUCUAUGGGAGGAAGGAGAAGGCAGCAGCGCCCAUUUUCUCUUUCUUUUUUUUCUCUUCUUCCAUUUCCUUGCAUGUCUCAUUUCUCUCUCUUACUCUACUCUACGGUGACCGGUUGGAUGACCGGUUAUUCCCAGUUUCCAUUCAAGUUUUUUCAAACUGAAAUUAUUCAAAUUUUGGGGCUUCGUGUCGGCUCGGCUUGGCUUCAUGUUUUCUUGACAAGCUGGUUUGUCGUAUGUGUGGAACAGAGCGCGCUGCUUUCAAUUUAUUUUUUUCCCUGGGGCCCACGGCAGCUAUAUCAUGGAACAAAUCAUUGCCAAUGUUUGCAACCAUGGUUCGGGCUGGCCAAACCGUUAUGGUUCGAUUAAUCAAUUUAAAUCAUUUCGGUUAGUUAAUAAUUACGGAAAUUGAUUAAUUUCGGUUAUUAAUUGUUCGAAGGAACCGUUCGAACCAAAACCAACUUUGGUCAUUUGACGGUUAAGAAGUUUGAGAAUCUCGGCUAGUUAGGAACAGUUAGUGAAAAUCGAUCCAAAACCAACUUUGUUCGAUCAAAGAUUAAGAAGUUCACGAAUUUUCUAACCAACCGACCUACCAACCUACCAAAGUUAAUUAAUUUUUUAACCGUCCCGACCGGCUCUUCCGCCAACCAUAGUCGCCAUCAGUUGCUCUCCUCGACUGUCAACUUCUGCACAAUUAAGGUAAUAAACUGGUACGGUUAGCUAUAAUUUUCAGUCCCGCAGUUUGUACAAGAGACAUUAUAGUACGAGAUGAGAAGGAAAACAUGCAUCUCUGUAGAAAAUAUGAAUAUGUAAUUUUAUCGGGAAGUACUUCAAUUUCUUAAAACACACACAAUCAAAUAUCCUAUAUCCCAUACAAGCUUGAGUAGAAGGGAGGAAAACGGUAACACAAAUUGCGAAAAUAGAGUGAGUUUGAGGGUUGAAUGGUAUUAUUUCGAUAUUUCGUAAAUUCUAAAAGACGUUCCUGAAACGCAUAAUGUGGUAUAUAUUAAUUAUGAAAUAUAUAAAUUUGAUAUCCUCGUAUUAACAGACGAUAGAUGGUCGUGACUUACCACAGUCAUCCCUAAGUCCAGUAAGACGGGAUAAGAUAAACCACACAUUUUGGAUUUAUUUGAUGGCACGCAGCAGGAGUGUAUUAUGUAUCUAACAAUUCCGACAGACAGUGCCUAAAGGGAUCAUGGGCUGUGGGAUUAAUAUACAUGGCUCUAACGUGGGGUGUAGAGACAAUAGCUUUCUUUUAAUGGUUUAUUGUUUUGGACAGUUACACAGUGAACCUGACCAAAGCCAAACCCAAAGCGCAUGCGGCCAAGUUCGGGACGAAAGGUUUGAUCGGGAAAUUCUAAGGUAUGGGUCAAGUUUAAGCGCAUCACAUCUAAGGGUUAUAUCUUAUUACAAUCUAUUCACGUUCAGAUGAUUAUAUGUGUCGCAAUUGCUCGAAUCUCCAAGGAUUAUGAAAGGAAAUGAGCCUUCAUUCAUUGAAGGGACAUACAAGAUUCAGCUACCCUCAACAGUCUAAGACCUACACGCUCAAUCAUUCGUCAGUUUAACCAUCUCCAAAUGUCUAUUUACGAUCCUUAUACUUCUUCGUCUUACACUUUUACAUUCAUCCCUUUAUCCCACACACAAAUCAGAUUUUAAUUUUCGUACACGUUUUAUGAAACGCUUCAUGGUCUCUCAACCUUCACAAAAGAAACACACUCAAUCACUCUAAUCAUUGUUACGGAUAUAACUCAAUUAUUGUUAUUAAAACCGAAUUGAAUCAAUCGGCCAGUCGGACCGGAAACCAGAGAUGGAGCCGCCCGGAACCCAUCCCUAUCCUUUCAGUUGGGAAGAGAAAUGAGAAAUUGGGGCAAGCUAGCCGGCGAGGGAAAGAGAACUGGUUGAAUGACAUACACGUGUCGCGAGCCUCCCUCCCAGAACCAGAAUCAGACCCGAAAAAAAACCGGAAGAAAGAAGAAAUAAAAACUGGUUUUGGGCAACCGGUUGAUAGGGAUGUUUAUCCACAAUGUUUGCAGCUGGACACCACCACUACACUACACUAGCCAAGCUUCAAGGCUAACAACCUUUGUUUUACCUUUCAAAGAGAAAUAAGCACAGCACAAUGGACAAUACCACCACCGUUUAUAUGGUAAGUGGUGGUAUCGUCGAGAAAUAAUCGACAACUAACGUAAAAUGUAUUGAAGUUUGCUUAUAUUCGACGUUCAAUGUAUACUAACCACUAAUGUUUUUUUAGAGUAUCGAUCGGAUGCUAGCUACGUAUAUUUAUCUUUAAUAAUACUAGUUAAUCAUUCAUCUAAAAAUAAUAAUACUAGUUAAUCGUUUGCUCAUCCUACUAUUAUGAGGGAUAAUAGUUUAAAUAAUGUAUUGACAAGUCAGAUGAUAUAUACAAUUUUAAUAGGGUAGGAUUCAUGUAGUCAAUUCUACUAAAUUGGAGAAUGAAUACUUAAACUUUGAGCUAUUGUUGCCAACUCCAAUCGACCAAGAAGUGAUGAGGUGAGAGUUAGUAUUACCUUCUUUCGACUAAUUUUCGUACUUCUCGUAAUACUAGUACGUCUUGGUUUACGAUUUAAAAUUGAAUUACGGUGAAGAAUAAGAAAAAUGUUUGAAAUCUUUUGUAGUUGUAUAUUGCCUUUAUUUUAUUUUAAGGGGUUUGGAAGCACGCAUCAUUUUCUUUUGCAUAUGAUAUUCAAAGUAUUGAUGGAUUCAUUUUGUUUUGGUCCCAAGAAAGGACAGUUUUUGCUUGAUACUAGGUUGAUUUAAGGCAAUGAGCAUCUCUGAUAUCGUUACAUUGUAGUUAUGAUGUGAUGCUUUCACCUUCUUCUUCUUCAUAGUCAUGGAAUGAUUUCGUUCGGACUACAAAGAAAAAUAAAAAAAGAUAAAACUCAUAAUAAAAGUGUUAAUAAAAAUAGACUUUUGUGCUCAAGAGGACAACCAUGGGAUCGGGAUGAUCGUUCGCGACGAGCCAGACACAGUGUUGCACUUCCUUAUGUAUAAAUCACAUGGACUAACGGCAUUAGGCGAGGAAUAGGCACAUGCAGUGCAGGAAAGUUUGGAGUGGCUCCGUGAUAUGGGAUACGAGAACGCUAUCGUUGAGACGGACUGCCAGAAGGUAACUACAUCACUUUACAGUGCAGUUCCAGACUGUACGGAAUUCGGCCAAAUCAUUUGGUGAUGCCGACAAGUCCUUAGUGGUAGAUCUUUGUUCAAGGUCGAGUAAAUUAGAAAAUAUAGGAAUGUGAUUGUUCACAAAUUUGUUCGUCAAUCUCGUGUCACCCACCUAUGAAUACACAUCUCUUAAUUGAUAUUUGAUUUUUACAAACUCUAUUUUGUCCCAUGAAGGACCGUUGAUUCUCAAGAAAUAGACUUUUGUAAUUAGAAAAACAUGAAUAAUAUAACGAGUCACGUCAGUUGAGUGAUUUUUUUUAAAAAAAAAUGGGGCCAAUCAUUCUUUUGAUAGCGUAGUAGAGGUUUUGAAGGACCACAUCCAUCCCUCACACUCCAAAUUUGAACUCAAAUGUCCGCCUCCCCCAAUCCCAACAUUCUGCAUUUCUUUUAAUUUUCUUCUUUAAGAUCAUCGACAACUCAUCAUAACAUUUAACAUGUACAUAUUCUACCCAUAAAAUGCUUUCGUCAACAACUCCAACGUCGAGUUAAGUGAAUCGAUAAUCGAGAAUAAGAAAAACCAUAACACCGGACUAGAUUAGUUACCUGAAGGUUGAUGAUCAACGAAAAUUAAAGGACUUCUACAUCCUCUGGCCUUAACGCUCCUAACCCAGUUGGUUAAAACUAUCAACUAAUACAACUUAAUCCUGAUCUCGACUAGCUUUCCAAAGAGGGGGAAAUGAGAAACAAAAUGUGGUUGAUAAAUUCUCGAGUGAGCCACUAAGGAGUUGAUUUUGGCCCAUGUGGUAUUAAAUUGACGGAUCAGACUAAUCCUAUAAUAGAUGUAGACAAAAAAAUUACUAGUUUGGUCUAGAAUGUUGGUAGUAAGUUGCUAUCGGGACAACAAUGCUCAAUUGUCUAUUUGUCCUACGUGGGGGCUUGUCCCUACACAAAACCAUAAUUUAACCAGACCAGGCUGAAUUAUGUUACUGAAGAGUGACAUGGCGGGUCAGGAUUUCUCGGUAACAAAAAAAAUCAAGCUGAAUUUCGAAAGCUUAAUAAGAAAUUGUGAAACCAACAAACGGAAUCUCUACAGCAGCUACCAAAUAAAGAUACAAGGUUGGACAGGAAUUCCUACAGAUACAAUAACGGCACCAAUCAAAGCCCACUUGGGCUGGGGAUUCUCCAUUUACCAUGACUCGAUGAGCCAGAGGUUGAUACAAGAAAACUACAAAAGAAGUCGUCAUAUAGCAGUCACAUAGUUUCUUCUUUCUCCAUGUCCCGAUUCCUACCUGCGGUAGCUGCUGCGAUCAGCCGACAAAGAGGGUUCAUUGUGCCUUCUGUGUGUGUCCUGAUGAUCAUCUCUCCUUUUACCGGAUGGAGACCUGGAUCUGCCUCGCCGAGGAGGCAGAUCCCUCGAGUAAGGAUCUCUAUCUCUUCGUUCACGUCUGCGAGGUGAGUAGCUUCUAGAGCGCCUAUGACCACGCCCUGGCAAAAGUUCGUAAUGUGACACAAAAAUUGAGGGAUUCCAAAACUAUAUACUGUCAAGAGACUCAAAGAUGAGAAGUAAUUCGAACCAGUGUAUCGGUUCUUGAUUUGUCCAAGGAAUUCCUUGCGAGAAAAAAGAGUGCAUACCUUGUUUCUCUCUCACGCCUUGAUACCUGCCCGGAGUCGGGUCCCUGCCACGAGACCUUUUAGCCUACAUUCGUAGCAAAAUCUAGCAUGAGCAUCUAGUAGAGCAAGUUUGAAAGACAAAUCAGGAAUUCCUUGGACAAGUAUGUUUAUUUUCGGCUGAUUGUCACCAGAAGUUGAGAUCUAUGGUUAUAUGAUACACUAUGUAAGUGCACCAGCAUUCACUGGAAGAAAAUAUGAUAGAAUGAGAAAAGCUAAUGCAUCUGGUGCAGGUUACCUGGGCUCCAUCGCAUCAUACACGAAGAAGAAAAGUAAAUUAGAAAAUCAAGGGCAGAUACUAUUACUGAUGACGAAAAGGAACAUAGGGAAGAUAAACAACCCUCUGCUAAAUAGUUGGAUUUGAAUAGGUAUCGAGGAAUUUGACAUGUCGAUGCAGAACUCAUAUUGUCAUUGCGGAGUGGAUGGCAAUGUUUACGAGCUUAGAUUGUGAAUUCGAUGCAGUUACACAUACCAAAACCUGCUACCAAAACUUAUCAGGCCGGAAUUGUUUCCAAACAACAAGGACAUGCAAAAUAAUUCAGUCCCACAACCAAUAGAUAAAAAUCCUCGAAGCAAAGCAUGUCUAUACGUUUACCUUUUCUACAGUGACUAGUCGUCCUUCAAGGACAGAACGAUUCAAGUACUUGAUACAGCGGUCAGCAUCAUCUUUGGAUUCCAUAGUAACAAAAGCAAAUCCACGGGAUUCCUUGGAGCGUGGAUCGCAAACAAGAUUGCAGUUCACAACCUGAUGCAAGAGUUUACAUAAACAAGAUUGCAGUUUCACUUAUGUCAACAAAAUCAGUGAAGGAAGCACAAUACCUUUCCUUCCUUGCCAAAGAACUUCUCCAGGUCGCUGGAGGUAACCCUAGUGGAUAAACCAGUGACAUAGAGGUUAUUUCCAGGAUUGGAUGCAUCAACAGAAUCUCGGCUCCUAGAACACAAAAACUGAAACCAUCACAUUCCUCUACUGAAACCAACAUGUCCCAUGUGUAUAUAUAUACAUACACCAGGAUCUCCGAUCCCAAUAAUUGAUACCUUGAUCUGGAGCGGCUUCGUCGUGGCGAUCUGGACCUUCUUCCUCUUGGAGGAGACGCCGAGGCCCGUGGAGGAGGAGACUUGGAGGCUCCAUGCCUACAAUUAAACAUAGACAAUCAACCACAAUGAUAUUAAACUGAUAGUUUAGCAGAGCAGCCAAUGAACCCGAGGAAACGCAACUCACCUUCCUUCCCUUAAAGGCGACAUCUACCAAAUGGCACCAUCAAAAUCAACACAAGGUAAAGGAAACAGAUGUCAGGAAGUAGAAUUACAAAGCUCAAUCAACUGCAGACCCAAUAACGUGAAGGGAAAAAAGGGAAUUUCCAACAAUUUUUCAUCCAUUGUAGCUCAACAACGAAAUCCCUACAAAACCCACAUUCUCUUUUCUUUCCUUUUCCCAUCGGAUCCUAAAGCUGCAAAGCGAGGGGGAAUUCCUCCAGACUGGACCAGAAUUUAACAUAGAAAUCGGAGAGCGUCGGGAGAGAGACAAAGAGAAUCGGGAAGAGAAAUUCCUAACCUUGGGAGGACGAAGAGGUAGACAAAGAUUGCAACUUUGAGACGAUGGGCACCACCUGAGUAGUGAAAGUAGCGAGUACACUCAGGAGGAAGGACUAAUCCCUUCACUAGUUUCUGGAAAUUUUGCCAUUUGCGCGUUGUUGAGUUGAGAUCUAAUUAUGGUGUCGAUGUGCAGUCUAAUUAGCAAGAGUGACUGUGUAAAGGUUUUCAAUUUAAAUUCCCAGUUCUAGAACUGUCAUUUUGUCGUGUCUCGCAUUUUUAAUACUAUAGUUCUAUUUUGUACGGCACAUUGAAACUGUCUUUUCCCAAAUUAUAAUAAGUUUGUGCAAGACCGUAUCUCAUGUUAAAAGCGUAUUUAAUGUUAAAUUUUAAAUGAUUAUAUUUAGAUUUUAUAUUUGGCAUUUUAUAUUUUUUAAAAGUAUUUUAUUUUAAUGAUGUAGUUUUAUAUUUAGGAUCGGUUAAGUUUAAUUUAAUGUUGAUUUUAUCAUUUUAAUUUAAUAAUUAGAUCAUUAUUUUGGAUUGGAUUUUUGCAAGUGGACAUUGAAGGAGAUAUAGAAGGGUAGCGAUGUAAAUUCGGGAUGGGCGCAUUAUGUUGGCUGUUGGGGGUUCCAUUGUUAGGGAGAUUUAUCACCUGGUCUCGUCUUUGUUAGGGGUCCAGCUUCAUACUGUUCAGCCGGUCAAGUAAUAGGGUCGCUCAUUAUGUGGCUCGCGAGGCUCUUAAAUAUCUCUCAAAAAUGUUGCUGGUAAUCCUCACUCUUUAGAAAGAUUCGUAAUUGUUGUGUGUUUGCUACCUCUUUGUCUCCACAUGGAGCUAUCUCAGACCCAAAAAAACUUAAGGGUGAUUUUGUUUUUUAGAUUUGAAGCUAUAUGUUGAAUGAUUUUAAGAGUUCGAGUGAUUCAAUCGAAAUGCAACAACAGAGUUUGGAUGUGAUUUGAAUUUCUUUGCGAUCCCUUUCAAGUGAUUUGGAGGUAAUUUACUUUGGUAGACAAAAAAUUAUUAAAUUUUUAGUGUUUUGAGUAGAAACAAUUAUUCGAAAGGUAAUUUUCUUCCGUAGACAGACAAUUUGUCAAACUUCAAAUAAUUUGAGUAGAAAAAUUCAGGCUGUCUUAAUUUAGUUUGGGGACUAGAGUUAGAUGUAUAUUAAUAACUUGUCAAAUAAGUUAAUUAAAAACUCGAGUAGACACACGAGUUUGAAAUAGGAUUCAUUCAACAAAUCAACAAGUGUCUUCUGAAGAUUCCUAAGAUCAUUGCUCUUAAACUGAAAGGAAAAUCAAAACCCAAAAGUAUAUAUAUGAUCAAGCAUUGAGGAGAGCUUCAACCGCCUCGAAGAAAAGUGGUGACAUUUCAGGGUUGGGAGUCUUGAUCGCACACUUCACUCCAGGGCUUCCUAUCACUGACGUUAGCUCGACUAAGAAAGGAACUCCCCCUGGUAUUUUCGUCGAGAAGUAGAAAACGUCUUGGUUCGCGUGCUUUCUCUUGGCGAUGAAGAACAUGUUCGAUGCAGCUACCCGUUCCACCAUUGCGUCUGCACUGCUCAACACAAUGCUCGGGAAGUCCUUCGAGAUUUCGUUUGCAUCAGGCAGGGACCUCCAUGUCUGCAAUAAGUACCAGGUGGUGCCCGGGUUAAACAUUAGACAGAUAACGACGACAAAUCACGUCACCUUCUAAUCAAUGAUGACUGUUCCAGUUUUCUAUACCUCGAGGAAGGAUCCACGUUCCAUCCUCCCAUCCUCGCUGAAGAAAACGUGAAAUGCGAUUUUGUCGUUGAAGUACCAUACUUGCUGUUGGUUAUUCUUAACAGCUACUUGUAAAAGCGAGCUUGGAGGACCAGGAGACACAUUUUGAAACACAACCAUGGGCAGGAGAGUGGUUGUUGAUGUCCCGGGUUGCAAUUGUGGAACCUGGAAGAUAACGAGUCAUUAGUGGCUGCGACAGGGUAGAGGUUUAGAUCAACUUUAGUAAAUGAGGGAGAAGUACCUGCAACGGUCCACCGGCAGCAAGACCAAGUGUAUUCUUGUUGAACUGGAUUAGGAACCCAUCGAGUGGCAUCUGUGUGUUGUUCUCAAACAACAUGCUGUAGAAGAUUUGUCCAUCUCGUCGUGUUAGCUGUGCACUUAUUUGUAAACCUUGAGCAGUUGCUGCUGGUAAUACGACAGGCAAGGGAGGGCUGCAUUGGUCAGAGUAUCAAUCAGCACGAUAACAAAUCACAAAAGCAGUUAUUAUAAAGGGCUUAUCUUGUGAAUCUCCCAGCACAUAUCGAUUGAAAUUCAGCAAUAGACUCCACUUAAAAUGGCACUAGAUGGUAGAUAUAUAAAUUACUUACCCAGAAGUAGUAGAAGGCUGAUCAACAGGGACAAUGGAACUGUUAUCCAAACCCAUAAGGUCGCCCAUCAAAUCAGGGACAGGGGCAGCCUGUGGAGGGGUAGCAGCUGGUACAGGAAUCAUUUGCUUUGUUCCAGCAUGAGGAACAUUUCUUGCAGGUGAUGCCGCACCAUGGACAGGAUGGGAAGAUGAUUCAGUGGCUUCAGCUCCAUCAGGAUAGUCGUCAUCAUCAGUCUUCUGUGCCAGUGUUCUCACACGAGUUACGAAUGCUUCUGGCGGUUUGUGAUACACAGAGGACAAUGUGGCGAUGUUUGCAAGAAGCUCAUCGAGUAAAGAAGGAUCGAGUUGGUUUGAAUCAUCACUGAUCACUGGCUUUUCCGCUAACACAACAUCUUUAGCUGCCUGUUUGAUAAAUAUAGAUUAGAAGCACAGUAAUGACGAUUUCAAAUAUCCUAAAGGCUACAAAGACCAAAGCACCAGACAUGAUAGUAUUUCAAUUUGCAAGGACAUACCUCCGGAUCAGUUGAUAAUAAUCGCCAAUAUAUAUAUGCACGGUCCCUUAGGUCAGGAUUAUCUGUCUCUACGGUGGCAUUGUUCAAAACAACCUGUAAGCGGAGAAAUACCAUCAUUAGCAUCAAUUCCCAUGAGCUGCAACAUAAGUAUAUGAUAAACUCGAGCUCUUAUGAUUCUACAAGCAAAAGUCUGCACAAAAUAUAUCUCAGGGACUACAAUGAAGAUGCAUCUUUUUCAGAAGCAAGGAAUUCUAAGGCAUUAUAUGAAUAAGAGCUAACAACACUGAGAGGGAGGCUAUGUUCUAGCAAACAAGCCUGAUAUUUGACCGAGGCAAUGAUGUUUUUUUAGUUAGACAUCAGUGUGAUAAACUUCGUUGUAGAUGAAAGAGGAUAUCAUACGCUUACCCUCUCAGAAGAAUAUAGAAAAAUGGAAUAAGGAUUCUGGAGCACAUGACCUGAAUCAUUUGCUGAGGACCUUCAGUUGGCUUCUUGAGGAAGAGUUUGACAGUUGCAGUCAAUAACUGCAACUGCACUUGUGCAGGUUCUUCAGGGAAACUCUCCAAGAAGCUUUCAAGGAGUUCAUCAGCAUUGUCAAUUCUUUCAGCAUAUUCACCAAUGAUCCAGAUCAUGGAUGCCUUGUGUAAAGAAAGACUGAAUUAGUCACACAUAUAUUUAGUGAACAGCCGCAAACAAAUUGCGCGAAUAAAAACAGAAGUACCUUGGCUUCUGGUUCAUCCAAAGUAUCUAAGCUCUCACAUAGAGUUGCAAUGAUAGAUUCAUAUCUACCAAUGACGAAAGAGAUUAGAUAGAGAAACAAGGAAAGACGACUUUUGAAUACACUAAUGCAGAACAACUCACGUAUUUGGGUAUCUUCUAAAUAUGUCUUUGAUAACAAUAAUAGCCUCUUGAACCACAUAAUUUACUUUAAUCUUGAUAAGUUCAAGCAGAACACUAAUGCAUCUUUCAGCCGCCCUCUCUAACUUUAUAGCACAGCGACCAAUGGCCCGUACAGCCUUUCUUACGAAAUCCACAUCAACUUCUGUUGCAUACUCUUUAAACUCCAAUAGAACCUGUAAAAUUGUUUGCCAAGAGUGUAUCAUAAUCAAAACUGUGAACUCACUUAUGAAAGGACAGCAAAAACACGUCGGAGUGACAAAUGGUAUAUUAAUGUGAAGAUGCUUGAGCCAGCAACAUAUAUUACCUGGUCUAUGUUGCGGUCAGAAGCGAGUUUUAUCAUAAUUUCAAGCUUCUCCAUCUUGACAUAAAUUGGAUCAUUGUACUUGCAGAAAAACACCUGGAAAUAAUAACAGUUUAGGUAAGAUCCCAUGCUUGCAACACAACCACAAUGCCAUUUCAUACAUAGUUAUGUUAAUCCACCUUAAUUUCAUGAGCAAGGAUUGUCGGUCUCCUUUGAACAAUUAGGUUUAUGUUUCGUAACGCAACAUAUUGAAUUUCAGGUUCUGCAGAUAGAAGUGUCACAAGAGGAGGAGCCAUCUUCUUGCAAAGAUUCCGCACUACAUCAGUGCUCGUAAUGAGUUCCAUUUGUUGAAGGAUCAUCUGUAAUGAAAGAAUCACUUGUGAAAAAGGGUUGAAAACUCAACGUGAAAUGAUGCAAACUAGAAGACAGAAAUAACUAAUCCACCUUAACAGCUGAAAGUACAACUGCACAAUUAGCGUGCUGUAGCCUUGGAGUGACUCGUUCCACUAUAUUUUCAGCUUCACGAGCAUCUGCUGCCUUGUAUCUUGAAAGUGCAUCCAAAAUAAAGACUUGACCCCACCUGGAAAAGGUAAUAGCAUUGAUAAAAUUAGAGAUACCAUCCAAGGGAGGAAGAUGAGAAGCUGAAUGACAAGUACAGGGAGCAGGAAUAUCAAACAUAUUCAGGUACCACAAUGAGUAGUAUAGGCCAUCAAGAAUAUAUAUUCAGGUUCUGAUAUCCAACUAAUUAUUGACUACCAUUGGCUAGUCAAUAAUUCGUCGGAUAUCAGAACCUAAUCCAUCCGAGCACCAAGGUUUGCAAAUGAGUCACACACAGAAACUUAGAAACAUACCAUCUCAAGGUGAGAAUGAAUUUAGGUAAGCUUUACACAUCAACUCACUCUGUGCACUCAUUUAGAGCAGUAAGCAACUUUGAAAGAGUUUGACUGGUAAUCUCAAAAAUGGGUCUAGCACUAUUCUCUUGAAUUUCGGCUAGAGCUGCAACAGCAUUAGCAACCACCAUCGGGUUAUUGUCUGAAAUCAAAUCCUUGAGAGAAUCAAGAAAACCCCUAUCUUCAACUAAUUCAGCAUUUAUGUCGAACAGUUUUGCGACACAAAUUGCUGCCGUCUUGCGAACAUAAGGAUCAUCAUCCUGCAAAAGUUCCCAGGACAAUGAUGAGAUAAGUAACUAUUCAAAACAGGUUGAGUAACCAAACAAAAAUCCUGGCCAUUUGAUUAUUGUGUAGAAUGGAUUAAUAAGACAGUCACACGCCAACCUUGAGGCACCGCUGAAGAGGAUCACACAAGUACUCAGUGAUUUUGUCAACACGAAUGCAGCCCAUUGUCCGAACAGCCAAAGCUCGAAUUAAGGGAUUUGGAUCUUGUGAAUCCUAGGUUUGAACAUCAAAGAAGGUUCCGUAAGAAAGAUGUAAGGAGUGAUGAGCAUGCUACACCAGCUAAAGCAUGCUACACCAAAAAGCUUGCAAAGGACCAUUUAGAGCAAAUUGAAGGCCAUCUAAGUUCGACAACUAUAGAAGUAACCAUAUGUAUAUAAAUACAUAUUUCAGUUACCUUGACGAAAGUAUUAACAGCAAGUAUUGCAAGAUCAGGCUGACUUUUAGCAUAGUUAAUGAGGUACAGAUAAACGAGCUUCUUGAGCUCCAGAUUUUCAGUUUGCAUGCAGUUCACCACAUCUGUGAAUAGUGAUGAGACAUCCUUCCCGACAGUCAUUGCAGCAAUCACUUUUUUAACUGCAUCCUUUCUCUUAUCCUGUACAUACAAUGUGCAGCAAAACCAGUGUUAUCUAUAGCUUCUAAUCAAGUGUUGAAACCGGUAGCAGAUGGUGGAAGCUAGCCUAGAAAUGCCCUAACGUAGGACUGCACGCUGUGAAUAACAUACUAAUAGUAGCAAUAAAUCCACAAUGUCAAUAAUAAUCAUUUCCCUUCACGUGGAUUACUCAUAUGAUUCCACUAACAACAACGCAGUGCCAAUUUCUCUUUACAAGAAUUUUUUUUAAAAUGGUACAUAGAGAUUCAAUUCCUAGCUCCAACAAGUAUGAUCCUGAGUUCCUGAAUAAGGCAAUUCAAAUUCAAAAUACAGCAGAUCUGCCAAAAAUGUAUAACGGAGCUCAUUCACCGGAGAAACUCCAAAAUAACGAAAUCAGCGAGACCAGAUAACGGAGAUCAAGAGAUCAUAGUUGAGAGAUUUGGGAAGGGGAACCUUGUACUGAGAAUUGAGCUCUUCUUUAAGUUCAGGGAUUUCUCCCUUCUUGGUCGUGGAGAAGUACUUGGAAUCGUGGCCGCUCAUGGCUGAUCACUUCCGAGUUGGCUCACCGAGUUUUCGACUGUCCCCAGAAACAAAAGUGAAGAGAAGCAGCAGAGGCGAUUCAGAGAAGAGAAGACCGGAGCUGAGUCAGAGCCGGUCCCUUUUUACUUUUCUAAACUCCGCCAAUGCAAAACGGCUCCCCGUUUUAAGUUGGGCUUUUCUCUGUCUCUAAAUAUUUUGGGCUUUAUGUUGCUUUCUACUCAAUGCCCAAAUACUCUGGUUCACCAUUGGGUUGAUAUCAAGAUUAUCACACUAAUCCCGAUUAAUUUGAAUUAUUAAAAUUUAAUAGUUCAUAUCAAAUUUUUUUAAUGGUGAAUCUCUAAUUUUAAUUGUUUUAAUCAUCAAUAUAUAACAAUUAAAUUAGUGCAACAACCAAGGAAUAUAGAUGUGAUUUAAUAAUGGAGGGUGUGCUAGCACGGGUGGAACUGGGGGAGCAUUGAUUCUCCUUUUCGUGGUACCAAAUACUAAAUUAUAGGUUAAUUUGAACAUUAGAGUAAUUCUUCUCUGCUCUAUUUGAAGUCCGGAUUCCUUUUAUUAAUUGGUAACAAUUGUAUUAUUCAAAUUUAGGCGGAAAAUCAUUCAUUAGUGGCAGAUUCGAAUACAUUUUGGCAAAAUAAAGUAUCCAAUUGUGUAAAUUUAUAUGCAUUUUAACUUAGUAUUAGGUUAAAGAGAAAUGUUAAUUAUCCCCAGGGAGGGUGUUCAUAUGCUUAUAUACUUGGUCUCGAUUGUUUGGAACACCUUGCAUAAGAAGGAAUAUCAUUUGUAAACAUGGCUUUAUUGUUUGGCAAGCUAUUCAUGAUAGAUUGACUACAAGGGCUAGGAUGGCAGCUUUGGGAUUACUUAUGGACAUCUCAGGUCUCUUAUGUGAUGGUGGGAUUGAUGAUCCUCAUCAUAUAUUUUCUACCUACACUUUGAGCAGUUGUGCAGAUAUUGUUUUGGCUCCUUGAUUAUUCAGUUUCGGAAAUGAAGAGACGAGUUGCACGUUUCUUUUGUUGAUUAUGUUGGGAGCUUAGUCGUUGCCGGUUCUUGCCGAUUGAUAUGGCAAGCUAUUAUUACCGAUCGAUUCCCAACAUCCAUCUAUAUAUAAUAGGAAACAUAAUCACUAAACAAAUUUCUACAUCCAAAAUAGUCGACAUCCGGUAUUUUAAUUGAGAACAAUAUUGAAGAAUGAAACCCAAUAUUAAAAAUGAUUUUUAAGGCACAUUUGAAUCCAUGAAUGUCAAUAAUUUUUCGUCUCAAAUGUUGAACUCUAUUAACAUGUUUCUCACCCUAAACGACAUGGAUCCUUAUAUGUAAAGCUGGUAUAUAAGCCAACACAAAACAGCCAUUGACCUUCAAGCGCACAUAUAUACUACUCAAGUUAGUCAGUCCACAAAUCACCAGUAGCCUUCUUGGGGAUUUCGCGGAGUCUGAGCUGUCUUCCCUCCCCCACUAGGAAUACUAAUCUAAUCUGUACAGAAGAAAGUUCAACUUUCGGGAAACGUUUCCUUACAGGUGCGUUUCCGUGUCUCCCCGUUGCCGUUCCUUGUUUUGGAAGGCUCAAAACUCAGACGGAAAACAAUUCAAAUUAAAGACGGAUGAGUCUUGGGAAGAUUCAUCGAAUUUUCCCUUGAAAGCCGUCAAUUCUUCGCAACCAUCUCCAUACAUAAUCUGGGUUUUGAUAAUUUCUGCUUUUUUCUUCUCCCAGGCUGAAAAGUCUGUAGCUUUUUUACCAACGGGUGUGUGACCGUCGAUCUAGCUCCCAAUGGCUUCCCAGGCGCAUUUGGACAAGAUGCAGCUCCGCCAGAAUUACCGCAAUCUCUGGCACAGCGAUCUUGUGGGCACCAUCCAGGCUGACACCCCAUGUGAGCUUCUUUUCUCUCUUCGUUUGUUGUUCGUUUCUUUCUUUUUUCCAUUCAAAUUCGUUUUGUUAUUGUUGAGACUGAUUGGUGUUUGAUUUCUGGGUUGCAGAUUGCUGCCUUGCUCUUUGGUGGUAAGUUCACUCUUCCUUAUUGUAAUCCCAAUCCUAGAUCUAGUUUUCUGGGAAUCGUGGCAGCCUUUUGUUCCCAAGACUCUACGCGUUCUUUAACUUGCGGCUUUUUGAGGGAUUCGUUGUUGGUUUGCUGCUGUUUGAUGGGGUUGACAUGGGUUGACUUGGUCCUUCCUGGUUUGAAUUUGUUCAAAUGUGAUUCAUCUGUUUUUUCGCCUCAUGGGCUAUAGUUCUGAGAAUGGCUUUGUUAAUGUCACGGGGCAUUUGAUAUGAUCAUUAUACUUUCAUCCUAACUUCACUGUUUGUUGUGGACAUUAUCGUUGUUUGAUGACCAAACAUUCAUAGUUCCCUAGUUCAGCUGAGGUAGCUAACAAGAUUUUGGAUAAUCAUGGAUGGUUCGUAGCUAGGAAGUAUGGAAGUAGCAUAGAGACUGAUAGUGUGUUUGUGAGGAUAUGAGUAUCAGAGUCAAUAAUAUGGUUUGAACUUUUGUAAACGCCAGGAGCUCAGAAAUAUUCUGCUCUCGAUAAGUUGUGUCAAAACUACUUAUCUAGUUUUCAGUUUGAGUCAAAUCCCCAUGAUCGUGUGGUUGUGCUUCUCCAUGAUUUCAUUUUUUGCGUGUAAUCUGAGUUCCUCGAGCUUCAGUUUUUGCUAAUAGAUUCUUUACGUCUCUUGUAGUGGGCCUUGUGUAUCAUAUUUGCUCCGCAAACGGGCACUUUACAAUGACAUGUCAAGGUAUGUUUGAUGCUUCUGAUGUCUUAUGUAAAUUUCUCAUUAUCUUCAUAUUGUACUCGAUGACAGUGCUCAUCAUAUCAGCAUGUCUUCCAUCGCAGGUAUGUUUGCUGUGCUGGUUAUAUGCCUUGUAGUGGAAGGUGCGGCGAAAGUAAGUGCCCAGAGUUCUGCCUUUGCACCGAGGUAUGGUAGGGGCCUCUUUCAAUUCUGGCAUACCUAGAAUAAGUGCAAUUGAUAAGUAGAUCAAGGAGAAGUUUUGAUUUCAUAUAAUGCAGAACUGACCUGCCGAUACAUUAACCUGUUUAACCUUUUCUAAUCUGAUGUCAAGUUGUUAAUGCUUCAUUUUUAAGAGCUUAAUGUAGUGCUGCGAACCACGUUAUUCUGUGAUUUUAGUAUUUGACUAUGUCUCCACUAUUUUUUGUUCUUAAGCUAUAUUCUAUAUUAUAAUGGUUAGGCAUGUUAGAAUUACUUUUACUAUGUUGGUGUUAGCUCUGUUUUGGAGCCUCUUUUAUUACUAAUAGUUGUACGUAUCAUUCUUCUAUAGCUGUCCUGACAGAUCUUGGUUCUAGUUCGUACUAGUUGUAUUGCACCAUACGACUAGUGAAAGUGAAUGCAUGUUUGUGGUAGUUCCAUGACUUUUAGCUUUGCUGAUUCUACACUGCACACUUCAGUUGUUUCUAGUCCCAGUGUUAAUGUUAUUGCAUUGGCAGGUCUUCCUGUGCUUUGGAAAUUCCGUAGCGUCCACUAGGUUUAUGCUGCAAGAUGAAUUCAACAUUCAGACAACUAAGUGUGACAACUGCAUUAUUGUACUCUCUCUCUCUCCGUCCCUCUUGAUUUAUCGCUGUUUUGAGGCUAUUAAUUAAUCAUGUCAGCUCUUCUUACCUUGUACCAGGGUUUCAUGCUCUGCCUCCAACAAAUUGCGUGCAUAUUCUCCAUAGUUGCCAUGAUUGUUGGAAGUGAGGAGAUAUCGGAGGCAUCCCAGUUACUAUCUUGCUUGUCUGAUAUGGUCUAUUGCACGUAAGCAUCUUCUAUUUAUGGUUUACCCCCUUUCAAUCUCCACUAUGGAAUAAUUAACUUACCAUCUUCAUCUUUUUCGGCACAUACAGGGUCUGUGCUUGCAUGCAAGUAAGCAUCUGAAUCAAACUGAAUCAAAACAAAUGCUGUAGUUUCCUGAACGUUCCAGCUUCCGUUUCUCGAAACUGUUAAAUGUUUUCUUUUGUUUUGCAGACACAACACAAGAUCGAAAUGGACAAACGAGAUGGCAAGUUUGGGCCACAACCUAUGACAGUGCCAGUGGUGCAACAGAUGUCUCGUCUGGACCAGCAAUUCCCUCCUGCUGCUGGUUAUCCACCUCAACCAGCAUAUGGCUACCCGCCUCCUCAGUCACAAGGCGGCUACCCUCCUGCUGGCUACCCUCCGGCAGGGUACCCUCCGCCGGCUUACCCUCCUUCAAACUAUCCUCCUAAGUGAUAUAUGUGAUACUAUUCAAUAUAAUUGCCAUUGUUGGUAUGUGAAAUGUGGAUGAUGGCUUUAAACUUUUGGUAUUGGGUUUGGAACUGAUAUUGGUUUGUGAGUGUGAAUCUUAUUAUUGAACAGUAAAAUGAGCUUGAGACAAAUUACAGUUGAGUUCUUGUUACUCUGUGUCUCGGUUAAGGUUAAAAGUUAGUAAAGUGACUAUUUGGUAGAAAUAAUUUAUUUCAGUGACCGCUAUUCAGCAUCAUAAAUGUUUAUAGUAAUCCGUUUGUGACGGAACGGCGCUGGAAUUGGGUGACCAAUACGCAGCAUUCUGGGCUGUAGUCAGUCAGCCUUCAAUUGAUUGCCACUUGGCAGCAUUUUACAUUCGGCUAGAAUUCAAAAUUCUAACAGUGACUUAUCACCAAGCUGAUUGGAUGCGUAACUUUUGUUCCACGUUGAUGUCAUCAUCGUACAACUUAUGUUUUUUAAUUUGCUUCGAUAACUUAUUUUUAUAGUACAUUACUUAAUGAAAUGAUAUAAUUAAGCGUAGUCAAUAUUUAUUUAAUUAAUCUAAUGUAUCCUAACAGGAGUUUGCAAUAACUAAAUAUUUUUUGGAGGACGAAUUGGAACUGGUUCAAACCAAUUUAGUCAUGGAUAUUUAAAAGUUCAUUACUCAUUACACAUAAUUUCACGAAUGAACCGUUUGGAGUUGAUGAACAGGGAGAGCAACAUUGAAUUGUGAGUUUGGAUGAAAGAUUGAAUGAUAGACCGACUGGAACGCAACAGGAUCUUAAAAAGGAAUUCCUCAGAUUCUUCUCAUUCUGUCAUUCUCAUUCCAUCGUUUUAUUACGAAUAUAUACAAAAAUGAUACCAACAAAUUAAUCUAAUUAACACUCGUAAUCCUGACGUAUAGUGUAGCCGAAAAAUCGGAAUCCGAUUUCGAUUCCGAUCCCGCGUUCAUGUUUCUACCGUGAAAUCAAAGCUCCGUCCCCAUCCAGAAAUCGGCGACAACUCCCCGUAAAAAUCAGGGAUCCCGGAAGCCGCCCAGAACUUAUCGUUGAAGCUCUCCUGCAUAUCCUCCGGAACCAACGCCGUCCGGCACAUCGGGCACGUUCUCCGCUCGUACCCCAUCCACCUGUCCAGGCACUCUUUGUGGAAAACGUGCCUGCAAUUCGCCAGAGACCUGAUUUCAUCCUCUUCCUCGAAAUCGUACAGGCACACCGCGCAGCUCUCCGGCGGGUCGAUUAGGUCGGCGAACUUCACCACGGGGAGGAUCUCGCGGAUGAGGACCGCCGACAUGGAUCGCUGGAGCUCCGGAUAACUCGCGGCAGGGGAAAUGGAGACUUCGUCGGCGGAGGAGCUGGGAUUUAAGAAAUUAGGGAGGCCUAGGUAGCGGAAGCUCAAGCUGAUUAUCCGCUGGAGAACGAAGAGGAGGGAGAGCGCGUGGAUUAGGAGCUUGGGAAGAAGCAGCAGCUCCGUGUAUACGGCCGGGAACCCCAUUUUUGGGUUUACAAUUACGGUUAUGGUGAAGAUUGAGCUCAGGAACAAACAAAGGAAUUUUGAAUUUUGAUUGCUUUUCUUGACCAACGAAUUUUGAACAGAGGAAUGGCAAUGAAAGGAGAAGGAGAUUGGGGGGGGUUUAUAUAGAACAACAAGGCAUCAAGGUUUUAUCUUGGUUCCCUCUUUCCGGGCUGGAUUUACUCCUGGUUUCGUACACGGCACGUUUAUUAACGAGAAGAGCGGUUUUAUUGUAAAAAAUAUUUGGUUUGAUGAUUAAAUACCGUUUAGCACUUUACUCUGCCUACAAUAAACUUAACAAAAAAAUUAGUGGAAUAAGACAGAUGGAAUUCACAAUUUUAUUUAGAAAUAGUACAGUUGGUUUCAUUGUAUAAUGGUUUCGAAUUUCGCCGUUCAAAAUAAUAGUUUAAUUAAUAUCACAUAGCUUCUGUAUAUGGAUACCAAAUGCAUAUAUUAUAAGUAUAAAGUAUUCACUAUUCCGGCAGACAGGGUGGUAAUUCAUUGUUAAUGUCUUAUCUUCUGUCUUAAUUUAUUAUAACAAUGCUUUUAAUUGACUGAUUUAAUCAACGCUUCAUUUUUUCUACACUGGUUUAUAAAUAUAGACAGGAUAACUUAAUUACCGCAGAGUCAUAACUUAGUUACAUUAAAAUAGUAAUAAAACAAAAUUAGUAAGAAAGGUCACAAUUAGCAGCAUACGUAUAUACCAUGCAUGCAUGCAUCCGGACGAUGUCAAAUUAGCUUUAUAUACCAUACAUGUAUAGGGGGGCCUAUUAGUGUUGUAAUCCUAGUAGUAACCAACUCUAAACCGGAUUGGUACUCAUCCGGUUAAAUGCUCGAACUGCCUCACUUUUUUUGCUUUGUUUUGUAGGCUCUCCAAACUUUGCGUAUUUGGGUCUUCUCACUUUAUAUAUACGUGACCUCCACCAUUAAUUGGAGAGAGAAAGAUUUUAAUUCUCUCAUUUAAAAACUCUAAAUCAUUAAAUCCUCUCAAAUGUUUUGAAGAGGAUAAAGAUUCCGCGGGUGAUUCUGAUAUUUCUUUGGCGCGUCUAUGAUUUGCUCAUUGCUCAGAGAAUCUCCGGCCAGAAUUCCUCAACCUGGAAGGGGAUCGAAACCCUCUGAAUAUCUUAUAUGUAUCGUUGUAUGAUCUUGGGUGUUUUGGGAUUAUGCAUUUGUAAUGGAUCUUAUAUUCUGUGGCUAUAAAGAAUUCUGGCAUGAACCUUCCCUCCCUGAAGCUCCGUUGAGUAGGAGAGCUCUCUCUUUGAAUAACGUCAAUAAAUCUAAUGUUUUUUACUUUUUUGCUUUAUGUUUCUUGAUCAAUCCUUACAAGCUGAAACCGUUUGGUAGAAUAGUAUCGAUUUAUCUCUUCCGUAGUUGCGCCUGAUGUCAAUUAGCUUUAUUAAAGAAAGAAUAAAAUGUGAAUGGUUGUCUGCUUUGAUCAGUUUUAGAUAGACAUACAGUUGGAACGUCAUCCAGGAAUUGGGGAGUCCGCAUCAACUGCGGAAAUCAAGUCGAACCAUAGACUCGAUAUUUGCUGGACUUGGAUCCCAAAGAUUCCAGUUAAUAAUCUCCUGAAUUGUAAUUCCAUUUGAAUAAAAUAACACAACUGUCGCUGAAACCCGACAUGAUCAACAGCCAAAAAAGACACACAGACCCAAAAUGUCGAUUUCACCAAGGAGGAGGAACAGAGAGGAUGGGACUCUGCACAGGAGACAAUGUCAACUGUCAAGCUUAAGAUAAGCUAAGUCCCAUAAAAACUGGGCUGUUGUUUUCAUGUGUCACCAAAAUUUACCCAAGAGAAUAUUCAACAUAUUAUAUAUAUACAUUUGCACGCUGUCAUGUCGCAUGCCAGCCGCAAAUUCAAAGCUUCCUUGAAUCUACAAAAGGUGCGAGUCUAUGUAAAAACCGGGUACAACGACAUGAGCGCAAAAACAAUCCAUACGAGCUUGACCUGAAACCGACAAUAUCAUAUUAGUGUUGGUUGGACGGUUGAUGAGUGUAAACCUAUAACAUAUCAAAUCGAUCGCUAUCCUGAAAUGUUCACUUUACUAUUCAGAUCUGAACAAAGAAAUCUUUGAACAUGUGCUAGCAAUGAAGGCAGCCGAUAUAUAGAGUAUAGUGUAUAAAUAAAUAUUAUGAUCAGUGGGUGCGCAUGCGUAUAAGUCGACAUAGACAGAUGAGUAGUUAAAGUUGGGUCGCAUUGGCUUGACAUCGAUGGUGUCUGAAUGAGACCACGACAUAACUGAGCAGUGCUGCCUGCCACCAAUCUGCUGCUGGGCUAGCUUUGGAUGUAUUGUAGUAAUAAUAUGUAGCUGCUGUACAUGAUUUUGUUUGAUAAAUCCAUUGACCAAUAACAUUACCCUCACCACCACUUCAAACAUUUCCUCACUUAUAAUAUACUUGUAUAAUAUUAUAACGUGUUCAUUGCGACACGCCUGUUGAAUCGAUAAAGAUGGUAAACGUAUAGCGUUGAUUGAUGAACUCAAGAAAAAAAUAGCAACUAGAAACAUAAGAACAAUAAAAUAAAUAAUUUUAAUUUUAAUUUCUUUUUUUCGUUUUCCAUCUCAACUCAUUCACCCCCUUGAAUACUAAAAUGUUCCAAACCCAUUCAUCUCCCUUACGUAUACUUAAUAAAUAAGAUGUAAUAAUUCAGAUAUUUGGCCUAAGAAUUAAAAAUUAAAAGUACAAUUUCUCUGAAUUUUAUUUAUAAAAAAUAUGAAUUAUUAUUCAAUAAAUAGUGUUUGGUUCUCAUAUGAAGGCUUUAUUUUGAGGUUAUCGGGACUUUAUUUUGAGUUUAUCGAAGCUUUAUUUUGAGUUUAUGAGAGCUUUAUUUUGACCUCACACAUAUUACCCUUUAUGGAUCUUGUGGUAUUUUUCAUUUUUCAAUUGAUAUGAUUUAAAUUGUCUUCUGCUUUCACUUUACUAAUAAAUUUUCUAUAACAACAAAAAUAUCAAUCUAUUCGCAUUUAUUCUCUAUAAUACUUUCCGUAAUAUCGCAUUGCAUAAAUAAUUCUAAUUAUUACUAAAAUGCCAUAAGCUUGGGAGGAGGUUCGUGGAAAUGGCCGUACAUAUAUUAAGACAAACUGUAGAAUCAACAGCGCUGUUGGGGCAGGCCAAGGGCCAGCUAAUCACAAGAUAUAUAUUAAGUAGAACCAAGACCAAGUUUGAUUGGGUUUAACUAGGGUGACAGAGCUUAUAUUAGCUGAAAAGUAGAAUUAGCACGUGAUUAACAAAUAAGGUAAUAAAAGUAAGUACAGUUGUCUCUUGACCACGUACAAGUAAGUACGGUUAAGUAAUCACAACCUGUCCUUACAUAAUUAAGAAGAGGGAGAUUCUCGUAUUGCUGCAUGCCAACUUAAUUUGCAUCGUCACGAAAAUUCUUCUUUCAACCAAUGCAAAAAAGAUCAACUGUUCUUUGAGCCAUUCGGGUAGAUCGCUUAAUCGGUGAAGUUAAAAAAUUGGCCAAGUGAGUUCGAAAUUUAUAUCUAAUAAAAUGUGGUAGAAAAUGGCUAGAGAUUGAAGUUUAAAUUUUAUAAUCGAAAACACAUACAUCCACGCUAACAACAACAACAACAAAAACCGUUACAAAAUGUUUUUUUAACUUCAUUUGGCCCUUAUUUGAAGGAUUUAACAUGGUGAAACUUCAAGUUUUAGUCAUUCCCAAUGUGCAUGUCAAAUAUUAGCCAAUUUGAAAAUUUUCAUGUCAUAAUUGGUCAAUUUCCGUAUGCUAUACUAUGGAAAUUUGACCAUUUUCACUAUAAAAUUUCAAAAUUUUGAAAUCGGCUAAUAUUUCAAAUUUCUUUAUAGUAACCAUUGUAAAUAAUGAUCAAAUGAAGUUCAAAAUCAAUUUUACUUGGUGUUAUGAUAGUGUUGAAAAUUUUCAAAUUGGCUUACUUUCUUCAUGCAUAUGAUUGCAUGUGAUGGCAACCAGUUAGAAUUAAUAAAUACGAACUAUGGAGAUUUUGAGGGGCUUUUUGUUUAUAUUAGGUGACUUUUGUGUAUAACCCAAGGGGGUUCGACCGAACCCCUUCCUUCCUUAAUAACUUCGUGCACAGUUCGUGUGACUCUCACUUAUGGAGAGGGUAAUUGAGUUGCCUAUCUUCUUAUACACCAUGAUCAUGCAGUGUACACUUGAAAGAUACCUUGUAUAAAGUUUUAGUUAGGUCUCUUGACCAAUACAAGAUAUAAUAUAAAAAAAUAAAUAUUAUAUAAAUAUCGUAUGUGGAGUAUAACUAGAUUCAUACUUGAAACUACCAAAUUACUAAAACACGAUUCUACCACUAUAAGGCUGUCUGUAACCCUCCAUGUAAACUUAUAAACUUGUAUUAUACAAAUUUGUAAACACUUCCAACUCACCUUGUAAAAUAGAGGGUCACUAGCUAAACNNNNNNNNNNNNNNNNNNNNNNNNNNNNNNNNNNNNNNNNNNNNNNNNNNNNNNNNNNNNNNNNNNNNNNNNNNNNNNNNNNNNNNNNNNNNNNNNNNNNNNNNNNNNNNNNNNNNNNNNNNNNNNNNNNNNNNNNNNNNNNNNNNNNNNNNNNNNNNNNNNNNNNNNNNNNNNNNNNNNNNNNNNNNNNNNNNNNNNNNNNNNNNNNNNNNNNNNNNNNNNNNNNNNNNNNNNNNNNNNNNNNNNNNNNNNNNNNNNNNNNNNNNNNNNNNNNNNNNNNNNNNNNNNNNNNNNNNNNNNNNNNNNNNNNNNNNNNNNNNNNNNNNNNNNNNNNNNNGUCCCUCCCUCUCUCUCUCUCUCUCUCUCUUUAGUCUAACAACAAAAUAUAAAAUAAAUAAUUUUGGUUAUAUGUCGCUAUAGCUAAUUCAUUAAUUAAUUUUUUUAUAGCUAAUAAAAAAAUCACGUAAAUUAGAAUAUUUAGAGACAAAUUUUGGUACUUGAAGAUGCAAUUAAUAUAAUUGUUGUAUAAACAUAUUUCUAGCGGCUAAUGCUAUAUAUGACACAAUGAAUAAGAGACAAAUGAUAUUUUUUAUGAAAAUAAAUAAUUUAUUAGUCAUUUUAGUUGGUUUUAGUGAUUAAUAUUCUAAUUGUCUCUGUGUGUUUAUAGUUAAAAUCAGAUUUUUUAUAGCGAAAAUAAAGUAGCUAAACUUGUAAAAAUCACAAAAUAUAGCAGCUGCUAUAUAAGACAGCUAAAAUUAUGAGUCCUAAUUGAUAAAGCAGUUAUAAUUUUCCAAAUAGCUAAAAUAUUAAAACUAUAUUUAACCGCCUUCUGUUAUACACAAAGGAGUUGCGGUUAACCUAACGAUCCCAUUUACGUAAUUUAAGUGUAGUGUUGUCGGCGUUAAGUCAUUAGAAAAUGAUGCUAAACUUUGAACUGAUCUGGAGUUUAUGUGGCAGCUCCACAAGGUUGGGCCCUUCUAUUUCUAUACGUACUUUUCCGGGUCAGCCAUAUUGUUUUGUGUAUACGUUAUCUAGAUGAAUGCAUUCCCAAGCUAUAUCGGACAUAGACAAAGGCGACCAGCUAGUAUCAGGCCCAAGUUCAAUAAGAUUAGGAUGCCGUCUGUACUUUCUCAAGUGUUGAUGUAGGGCGGGUAGACUACUAUACUACUGCCGCUGUAGUGUUAAUGGGUUGAAUGUACUGUGUCAAACAAACAGCAAUACAAGGUAAAUAAAUGUGCAGUAAAACUGGAUUCUUUUUGUUGAUGUUAGUGAAUAGCAAGGGGGCACAGAUACAAGCUACUGUCUGGUCAAAGCCAUUAACAAGCAUCAUUCAUCAGUGGUGUAGAGUACUGUAGCUACUGCUGUUGAUUGAUGGCAAGUAUCGUUAGAUUGUGGUAAAUAAGAAAAAGCGGAAAAAGAAAGAAAAAAGAAGUGAGCUCAGAAGCGCCAUGACUCAUCAUUUCUAGCAGAUGACUGCGAAGGACCACUUCACAUUGGCAACGAACAUCAUAGCUCCUUCACGUUGCACCAGCCGGGAAUCGAACCCGGGUCUGUACCGUGGCAGGGUACUAUUCUACCACUAGACCACUGGUGCUUCUUUGGUUGCUGGUGAGUUACCAAAUAUCUAUAGUUUCUUGGCAGUGGAAUAUAUAAAUAUUUUGGAUGAUGAAGAAUGAUUGAAAAUCAUUGUUGGUGAAUGGCCGGGGAGGACGACAUGAUUCAAAAACUCCAUCAAGCCGUAUUGGAAAGUGUGAAUUGGGAAAAGACUAUCAUGUCGUUGUCUGACAUAGAGGAGUCGCAUGUUAUACAUUUGGCGAUGCUAAGGUAAAAGAUUAUUAAGCAAGUUUAUAAGCGGUUUUGGACUUUCACAUUUGUUCAUUCGCUUGUCCGUCACUGAGUACUUAUUGGAGUUAUCAUGACUGACUCCAACAAACAAGUGUGUAACAAAAAGUCACGAACAUAUAUUCCUCUGCUCAUCCCCAAUAGUGUCUAAGUGUGUGUGUUCUCUUUGAAGCAACAUCUCUCGCCUUUAACUUGUUAAGUGUUUAAUGAAGACUCUCCCGAUAAAUAACUCUCGCAACGCUACGAAUAUAUCUAAGCGGUAUCUCAUCUCUCAUAUUCUCACACUGGCACAUCAAAGUUCUUUACAAUAUAAAAUAUUGGGUACAAGAAGCUUGAAUUUUUUUUAAAAAUUGAAGGGAGAAAUAGUAACUUGUCUAGCAUCCAUCGCCGGCUUUAAAUAUUCUUUGCUUUUCCUUUAUUGUUUUCUGCAACACCUCCUAUUUUUUCUUUCAUUUUCUGAAACUCCACCCCAUGAUCCACUGUAGGUUUACUCUACUCAAACCUGAUUCUAAAAUUGAAUUAGUAACUUGUGAUCAUUUGGAUUUGAUUUAUUUGAGUAGGAUUCGAAGUUUCGAUCUAUUGUAGAUGGAUUAUUCGAUAUGUGAUGUGUAUGACAUGCUUUGAUCUUUCUUACUCACCUAUGCCUUUCGUUUGCUAAACUUGUCUUAGAUAAAAUUUUGCGCUUAUUAAUCAUUGAAAGUCGAUUAUGUAACUAUUUAAUUAAAUUUGAGAGAAUACUUAACCAAAACAAAAGAGCAAGAUGGCCGAACACAAAUACUUCAUAGGCGAAUUAUUGGUACGUAAAAAUUUAUAUACAAUUUGGUCAUCGAUAAUGGAGACGGCUCUCCCAUCUUCUCCCAUUCCAUUAAUAGAUCUCUAUCGUUCUAUAAAAAAUGCAUAAAUAUAUCUUAAAACUAUAAUAUUUUUUAUCAUGCAUUUAUAUUUCUAGCAUAUUAUAUUGCGGUCCUAAAAAUAUGACAUCAUUGAACACACAAUUGACAUGCGGACAUUCAACAUCUUAAAUACCCUCACCUUAAUUACAUGCUAGUUUUGAAGAUAGAUUUUAUCCAAAGAAUUGUAAUGCAUCAUUAUUCUUUUAAGUUUCACACCAUACUCUUAUUACUUAACUAUUAAAUUUGACAGCAUUUAUCUUACGUAAAGAAAAUCAAGAUGUCAUGUAUAUAUUUUAAAAUUUAUUCCCAUCAAUGUUGUAUACCGACCCUUCACACAAUGUCCUACACUAAAACACUCACCUCAGGCUCGAUCUAUCAAGAGGUAAGAUACACACUCCAUUUCGAGUUCAUUGUCAUUCGUACUCUAAAUCCUCAAAAUAUGGAUGGUGAAAUAAACUUCUAACUAUGGACGUUUAAAAUUAUUAGUGUUUUUCAACCAAACGAGACGUUGCAAUUCAUAUAAUAAAACUAGUUAUAAUAUCAUUUUAUUUACAUUCGAGUUUAUUCAAAUUAAAAUUAUGUAUAAUUAUAUGAACUUACUAUGGUGAGUAAUUUGUAAGAUCCAAAUUUGGGUCAAUCAACCCUCUAGUUCUUUAACCUUUUCCAAGGUCGGAGUAAAAAGUUUAAAUUCCGGGUGUUAUUAUAACAACUAUGUUAACGGACUCCGUCUCUGCGACUCUGUCAACGUCGCUCAGCAAUGGCUGACAUUUCCACCAAUAUCAAAUUCUGGGGAAUUCAGCUAAAGGACAAUCUCACUCCCCUUCCUUCAACAAAGCUCCCCUUACCACCUUUUUUUUUUUAUUAAUUUCCCCCACCCAUCCCCCCAUUCCCAAUUCUUAUUCCUCCAUGGCCAGAACCACCACUACUAAAUUUACUCACUCCUCCGCCGCUUCCUCUCAACCCAUUAAACCCAAACACCGCCAAACCACCGUCUCCACUCCUCCAGCUCAAACCCCUCUUCCUCUUCCUCCUUCCGGCCUCUUGAAUCGCUCCCGGAGUGGCCGGAAACUCCACCCUCCGACCAUCGUCUCCCCUGAUAAAUCCUCUUGGUGCUGCCCCGCUUCGUCAAAACCCAUCGUCCACUCUCCUCCCCGCCGGAGAUUGCCCGACCCGGAACCCGAAUCCAAUAUCCGGUUCUCUUCCGGCGGAUUUCCCCCCGUCAUGGACUUCGCAGCUCCAAACGGCCACCACUUACCUCACGAGUCUUCUACCGCUCCUUCUACUUUCCCUUCCAGCUUCACCAAGUUCAACUCUGCUCUCACGGCGGGUCUCCUCAACCCGCUGUCACCUCCGCCCGACAGGAUGACCCGAUCCAGCCCCACCUUGUUCGAAAUGAUGGCUAGCGAGCACGACAUUAGUCAGCCCAAGUCCCCCCAGACUCCGAUCACGAUUACUGCUCCUCCUCCUGUUCCAAUCUCCAAAAUUCCUCAAGCCCAAGCGCCGGUUCAGGACCGGCAGACGGCGGCAUUGCAGCGAAUCGCUGAUAUCCUGGGCAACAGGAGCCCCGGGAGCCAGUUCAAUGAUUCCUCCUCUGGCGAUGUGAAGCUGACUUUGAGUUCCAAAGACGGGAUCGGCGUUUCGAUCAGUGUUCAUAGGCAGAUCCUGGUGGCGCACAGCAGGUUCUUCGCGGUGAAGCUCUCCGAUCGGUGGGCGAAACAACAACAGAAACCUUCUUCCGGGCCAUACGGCGUGGAGAUCGCCGAUUGUGAUGAUAUCGAGGUUUACAUUGAGACUUUGCGGUUAAUGUACUCCAAGGAUCUCAGGAGGAGACUCAUGAAGGAUGAUGUUACCAAAGUUCUUGGCAUUCUCAAGGUAAUUAACUAUCUAUCUUUCUCUUGGGGUUUUCAUUAUUUCUCAGUAACACAGCCAAAUUUUGAGUUCUCCACUCCAACUGCCUGUUGGUUAGUAUUUGCAUAGUUUGAUGCAGUGGCCGAACCAAGGGUCACUGUCCAGGGUUUCUGGAUUCUAAAGUGAAGAAAUUCCAUGUAAUUUUAAAAAAAAUUGAAGCUUUUGCAUUGUGUUUUCGAUUUCAGCCUAGUAUAGCUUUCAAACUCACUGUGAACUUGAAAUCCUACGACUUGCUUUGUCGAUUAGAUGAAUAGUAAGGCAUGGAAUAAGGUUUGAUGGUGGUUGUUCAGGUUUCAGCAGCAAUAGGGUUUGACGCUGGAGUUCUAUCUUGUUUGGAGUACUUGGAAGCAGCUCCAUGGGCAGAGGACGAAGAAGACAAAGUAGCUUCACUUCUAUCAGAGCUACGUCUAGAAGGGGUAGGGGCAGGGGAAGUUCUAAAGAGGAUGUCUGAUGAAGUAAGCAAUGGAGGAGUAGAAGAGAACGGUAUUGAUAAUAAUGAAGAAGUGCUUCUCAAGCUUCUGCAUGUAGUUCUCGAAGGAAAAGACGAGAAAGCUCGACGAGAAAUGAAAGGACUUAUUGCGAAAAUGCUCCGGGAGAGUUCCUCGCAGACCGAUCUUCGGAAGGAGUCUUUAUACUCGGCUUGCGAAGGGUGUCUGGAGCUGCUUCAGACGCAUUUUCUCGAGGCAGCAUCAGGGAACUUGAAGGAUGCUGGUCAGAUCGCUCGACAAGCCGACAAUCUACAUUGGUUGUUGGAUAUUAUGAUCGACAGACAGAUAGCCGAGGAGUUUCUCCAAACAUGGGCAUCGCAGACUGAACUUUCGGAAGUACAUUCCAAGAUUCCUGCUGUCCAUAGGUACGAGGUGAGUAGAAUUACGGCGAGGCUGUUCAUUGGGGUUGGGAAAGGGCAGAUGUUGGCUUCGAAAGAGGCAAGGUGUAUGCUUCUGCAGACAUGGCUGGUUCCUUUUUACGACGAUUUCGGAUGGAUGAGGAGGGCACAUAAGGGUCUCGACAGGCAUUUGAUUGAGGACGGUCUUGGUAACACCAUUCUAACCCUGCCGUUGUCUUGGCAGCAAGAUAUUUUGCUUGCCUGGUUCGACCGGUUUUUGAACUCGGGUGAAGAUUGUCCCAACAUUCAGAGAGGGUUUGAAAUCUGGUGGAGACGGGCGUUCUGGAGGCGCACUGGGGAGCAAGGACGGACACGGUCUUUUAGAGUCGUUUCCACAAAAGCUGAUAACUUGUGACUAAAGUUUUGAACUUUGCACUGCAAGUCAAGAUACAAUUGUCUCGGAUCGGGUGGAGAUAACUGAUCAAGUGGCUUGUUUCUUUCUGGUUUUGGGAGUCGAAUGAAUACAAGGGGAGUGCAAAUACAGUAGCUUGUGAUCAGGAACACACAAGGAAGGACUACUUGGAUGUGUUAUUUUUACACCCAUUGAUUUGUUUUUCGCUAGAUUUGUUUCUUUCUUGAUGUUUCAUUCAUUGGAUUGGUUUCAUAUGUAAGAGUUUCAUAUAGUCCUGGACUGAUCACUUGCCUACCCAACAGGAUGAAGGAAGCCGUUGCAGCAAAGAUCUGAGAACAUUUAGUUUUCUCCUUCAUGUACAUUACAGUAUUUAUAUAUGUGAAACUGAAAAGGGUUUAUGAUUUUAGUUGGGGUUUGUUGAGGGGGGCUCUGAAUUAUUGGUUUGAAAGCGAUAGUCUCGAUGACUGGUGUUUACAUAGAAAGGGACGUGUGUCUGCAAAUGCAAUGUGAUUGAUGGCAGGAGAUGCUGUGAGUUGGGCAGCAUUGAUUAAACUAACUACUCCAACCUAGCAACCUGCAAAUGGAAAACUAGUUACUGAAAGUCAAGAAACUGCCGACGUGAAGAAUGAGUCUUGGCGUUGGAUCUGAAGCCAUAAAUUUCUUUCUCUUGUUGUGCAACGCUGCUUAUAUGGAAUUACUGAUGUAUUUGUCAACAAAAAAUGCAGCUUAGAAGCAUGAGGGGGAUGUAGCUCAGAUGGUAGAGCGCUCGCUUAGCAUGCGAGAGGUACGGGGAUCGAUACCCCGCAUCUCCAACUUUAAUCAUCGUUUCUCAUUUUAAACGACGCCAUUUUAAUGUCCUCGGCAUUGCGCCUGGAUAUUACCCCGGGAAGUAGAGGAGACUCAGCGGCCGGAGAUGGCCUGCUGCCCUUCAUUGAGGGAAAUGACUUUGCUACCCUCAUCCUAUAUAACAAAAUCACCGCUGCAAAAUUCUUCUUCCUUUCCUGCCUUCCCGUCGGCCAAAGAAAAUUGCUACCGGCUCUUUUAGGGAGAGACGUUCAAUAACGAACGAGAUAUGAUACCGCAGCAAUGGUCUCAACCCUGUGGCAGCGAAUGCACCCACAAAUAUGCAGCCCUAACUCAGAUUCCGUGUAAAUUCUCCUACCUUUUAUUUUUAUUUUUGCUUUCCCUUGUCUUUCUAAACAGCAUAUACUCGCUUGUCUUUGUAUGGGUAUUGAUUGUGGUAUAGAUUUAGAUCUUCGAUUGAUACAAAGUUUGAAUUUUUUCUUGGGGGCAUUUUGUCAAACAGCUAGUAUUCAAUUAUUAGGACGAUGAAGAUGAUGACAAAUGAUAAGUCUUUCAUCAUUAGGGAGAUUUUGCGUGAUAAUAUAUUUGACUUUGUUGUCACCCACCAUUCUGCAAGUCCCUUUGGGCAUGCUGAUGGAUGUGGUUCAAGCUCUUGCUCUGUAUAAACAAACCAUCGUGUUCAUUAUUGUAUUGACAUCAAUGGCGUUAGCUAUUUGAUUCAAAUGCUUCCCUAGCUCGGUUCAGACUCCUUCGUCCUUUUGCGGUGACAAAAGCUGAAUCCUGGUCCAGCUCUUUAUGUAUCGUUUGCUUUGGUGAAAUCUUCGGUCUUUGGUGCUCUUGGAAUCACUCAGCUAUCAGAUUUCGCAUGUUAGGAGAAUGUAGUUGUUGUUUUCAACAGUCUGCUUGAAGGAAUUCUCCUUUGACGAUCAGAGUCUACUGGAUAUGUGAAUCUUGCGUCGUGCUAGAGACUACGUACUGAACAUUUGCAGCUGAAUAUCAUUGGAAUUUUUUUAAUAGCUUUCAAUGCACAUCAGUUCUACGUGUGAUACGCUGAGAUGUUAGUCGGAGAUAUGUCUUAGUGAAUUGGACGAAUCGGUGAACUAUUUGUUGAUCGAACUUUGCGAUAUUGGUUUCUUAAAGAGGGUUUCACUGCUGGGGAUUCUCCUUGUAUAUCUCUUAAAAUACUAGCACUCUCAACAUAUUAACAUGGUCAUGCUUAAUAUGUUUUGCAGGGAGAGUAUUUUGCAAGAAAGGUUGUAAUGCUGAUGGCGACACAUGGGAAGAGUGUGAGUUUCCAUAUUCUUUACUGCCCCUUGCGCUUAUGAUAUCCAAUUGGUGUAUGGAUGCUCACCCUGAAAAUCUAGUAGCAUUGAUAUCAUUUUUGCAGAGUUUGUCCAAAUUCUUCUUGUUCUGAUGAGUGUGGUAGAAAACAGGAUUCAGACUUUGGUUAGCUUUUAAUAUUUCUAUUUUAUGAACAAUGGAUCAUUUCUUACAUCCAGCUAUUUACUGAGAAUUCACUACGAAACUCACGAGCUAAAAACUUGUAUUCCACUUAAUUAUACGCUCAAUUGGUUUCCAGGCUCGGAAGCUUGUGAAGAGAUAUGCUACAAGGAUCCAGUGUUAAAGAACCAACAAUGGAGUGCCUACAUUGACCGAUCACCGGGAGCUGCUAGCUACUCAGAGGUAUCUUGAGGUGUUGUUCCCUUUUCAUUUGUCUAAACAUUUCCACCAGUGUCAUACACACAUCCCUCUUUCUGUGAACAGGAAUGCUUCCAUGCCUGCGUAUCUGGCUGUGGCUAUAAGGUGAGUUUGAUUGUAAUUUUGCGUCCACGGAUUCGCUGGAUGAUUGUGAAUUGAGGUAUAUGAUGGAUCUCAACAGUUGUUAUAGGGAAAUCAGUGAUUUUCUCGUUUCUUCAUUGAUGAAAGAGCUUGUUUCCUCGCAUAUUGCAGUUUGCAAUCAACAAAGAUGAAGUUGAUCAGCUUCGUCCACACCGGCCAUGCAAGCCUCCGGCUCCUGAGAAGCCAGUCUCUGUUAGCAAGCCUCCUAUUACCAGCGUAACGGACGAACAGGAAGACAUGCCUUGCACUUCUGCGUAGUGAUGAAGUUUGUUGCGCAAGUUAUGAGAAUGAAUUUCGGCUCUGUUUGGUUUACAGAAGCGUGCGAAAGCUUCUGCAUCAAACAGUUGUGUUCCCGGAUAGCUUCUGAAUAUCCUGACAUCAACAGUUUUGGUAGCAACAUAUAUACCUGGGUAGCUUUUAUCCUUAAUGGGGUUGAAAUUGAAACACAAUUUACUGGGACACUUAAAUCUGUGUUCGUGUACUCUUAUCUUCCCUACCUCGUCAUACAAGUUGGAAGAAACUUUGUCAAGCAAAACCCUAAAUAAUUAUUUCAUUCCUGUCACACCAGCUUAUCUGUAAUAUAAUAUCUUCAAUGUUUCUUUUAAUUAGUUAGUAGAAAUGUUUAUUUCUUUAAUUUGCAAAGGAGUCGAGAUAGUAAAUACAAAAUGAAGAAUUUAUUUAGAUCGUGAUGUCGGUUUUAAAAAGGGUUGCGAUAUAAAAGAACUUGUCUUUCCACCCCACUUUAUAGGCAGCUCUAUUAACACCACCAAAAAUACCUACAAAUGUAAAUGAGAAUAAGUCGUUUGGAAAACCAAAGUUUAUACGAUGGCUAGAAGCACCCCAUAUUGAAUGCUCAGUUAUAAUAGUCUAGAAAGCACCAAUUCCACGUCUCCUCAAUAUUUCACCUAUCAAAUCUCGCCGAAAGCAUUACAAGGAACCAUGCUGAUCAAGACAAGUUUGUAUUAGAGGACCCCGAUACAGUAUAAAGCAUAGAUUCACUCAAGAACCUAACGUGAUAAAAGACCGAUAGAUUCACUCAAAAAAACAAGCAACUAAAAAUUACAUGGGUAUCUAUUUAUAAGGUAUAACUAUGCAUUUGAAUCUAAUACAUACAAAUUAUCAACACACAACCCUACCAACCUACGACGGAUCAUCCGGACGUAGAAUUAUAAAAAUGUUAGCCCCAACCUCAAAACUCAAGUCUCUGCCGGCCCAACAGUUUUGAGGAUGCUACAACUCCAAGUUUGAAUUCAAGUUGUCACCAUUGAUCACCAUCAAGCUUCAUUGAUAAAGCUGCAAAUAUGACAGAUCAAAAAAUAGGUAACUGGGAAUCACAGUGCUGCAGAAAACCCAAAUGGCAUAUGAUCGUCAUCAUAUCCCCAGGAUAUCAAAUUAGUUUUAUGAACACCACAAAUUAUUACUACCUAGAAAGUCUCUCUCCGCAAAGGGAAACACCAAAAUGGAAACUUUAUGAUCAGUCUUGUUAAUUUGUCUGGACCACUCUACAGCUACUGCCAUUAGUGAAGUGCAGAGAGCUAGGCUAAAUAUAAUUCAAAAGAAAACAAAAAACAGAGAGAGAGAGAGAGAGAGAGAGAGAGAGUUGCAAGUUUCGAAACCAACAGUCUCCAAAAUGUCACUCUGCUGCCUCUUCUUACUCGGAGUUCUACAGUUUCCACUUUCGAUUUUUAUUCAUGUCGUUUACCCCCCGUCUUUACUGGGUGCAUUGCAUACCCCUCGGCUUUUUGGCUGCAUUUACCGGACGGCCACUUCAGGUCAAUUCUCUUCGAGUUUUCCAAGGGUAUUUGAAGUCAUUAUUACCAACUACUUCAUUAUGCUCUAAAAGAGUAAAAGUGUUCAGUUUGACUUAAUCUUUGCUUACACCAAAAAAUUAACUAGAAUCAUCGCUAUUCCGCCAUCCAGCAUUGCCAUCCAAUCUCUCGUCGAUUCUUUAUCCAUUUCGAUAGCCUUGUAAUGACGGUCAUCUACUCACAGUUUUAGUUAUACUACAAUUACGAUCAUUGCUAUAAUGUCAUCCUAAUACGGCAUUUCAGUAUUGUCAUUGGCGGAGUUAGAAAAUUGAUCAAUGGGGUUUCAAAUUCGUAUCAAACAACAUGUGGUGGAAGACCGUUAGAAAUCCAAACUAAAAUUUUUGUAAUCGAAAACACAUACCACUAACAAUAAUAAAAACUUUUAAAAAAUAUUUUUUAAUUUCAUUUAUCUAUUUUUUUUACUUUUAAAAAUAUGAUAAAAUUUCAGUUUUUAAUCAUUCCCAACAUGAGGUAAAAUAUUAGUCAAUUUGAAAUUUUGAAAAUUUUCAUGUCAAAAUUGGUCAAUUUUCAAAGGAGUUAGUUAACCUAUGAAAAUGAGUCAGUUUAACAUUGUAUUAAUUAAAUUCCUUUACAGUUAGUGGUAGGAUUAGUCUUUCGAGGGAUUGAAAGGCUUUUGUUUGUAAUAGGUGAUUUUUGUUUGUAAGCUAAGGGAGUUCGGCCAAACCCCUCCUUCCUUAAUAGCUCCGUCAUUGAGUACUCAACCUAUGUUAUAUUCACAGCAGCAAAGCACUUCACCAACGAAAGAAUAACAAAGCCAUUUGAAAAAAAAACCGUCAACACCAUGAUCCAAAGUAGCUAAGGAAGAUAAAAAAAAAUCAUUUCCACAUUCAAAUCGUUGAAAGUAAUUUCCAUGACAGUUGCCUUCUACAAUUCCAAUAACUACCCGCGACAUCUUAUAAAUUCCGCAGUGAUAGACAAAAUAAGUAUUUGUGAAAAUGGGGGCAUUGAAGAGAUUGAAUAAUUUGGGUAAAGCUCGUUAUAGGACCACCUUAUAAGGUUGUAGUGGCAAUAAUUAAAGCUAUCUUUUUUCAUUCGUGGCUCCUCCCACCACUUAGCACCCUCCCCUCAUAUCUCUAACUUUCUUCACCUUUUUAUACUUUCACAAGUUGAGGCGAGGGUAGAUCCAAACAUACAAUUUCUUUUAAAAUAAAUAUUAUUCAUUUUAUUAAUUAUAUAUCUCAAAACAAAUAUUAUUUUUAAAUUCGAUAUACGAUAGAUCCAAACACGUAACUUUUCUUUAUACAACUUCCCCUAUACAUCCCAUCACCUGUUACAACACAUGUCUAUACGGAUAUUAAGUAAGGUGGAUGGAAGUAGAAAUCUUCAAAUUCAUAACUCGAAACAAUACAACUUUGACUUGUACAUUUAGUUUUGAUAACAAUUAGGAUAAGUUUAUACGGCUAUUUUCAUAAAAAAAAAUUAAAUAUUAUUAUUAAUCAAUCAUUAUUUGAAGAGAUAUAGACCGUAUUUAAUUAAUUAUCGUUGGUAUAUUUUUCUUGAUAGAGGCCCACCAGGUUAAUUUAAGUUUUUCCCCAGUUCCCAAACUGGCUGGAAAAGGGCCCUGAAGCUGAAGAACCCCACUCUUCUCUUCUGCCACACCUUUUACCAACUUCAUCUUUCUUUCUGUUCUGACUAUGGAUUCCUUCCUUCUUUCCCAGCCACAUAGAAUAACAAUAAUAAUAAUAUAAAAAACAAAGACCAUCAGAUCAUCAUCACCAUCAUCAUCCUGAAAUCACAUUUACUGUCUUUCUUUCAUUGGAUUUCCUUCUGACCAAUUUAAUGGCUUCCUUCCUUGAAUGCACCACUACUUCUCCUUAACUUUCUGUUCUUCUGUCUAUGUUGCAGCAGCUUUCAGCCAUAGCUAGUACAACAAAACAACAACUACAAACAACAACAAAUUAUUUGUUAUUGUUGUUUUGGUAUUUUCUGCCCAAAGAAACAAAAAGUGUGACUGGCGGCUUCUGGUAUUAGUGUCCCAGCAUCAAACUGGCAAAGGACUAUCAUCACUGCGUGCUUCUGUUCUUUCUCUUUUUGGUCCUCUCGUAUCAUACUUUUGCCUUCAAUCUCUACUUUCUAAGCCCAUACUUCUUUGCUUCAAAUCUAGCCCGAGCUUUGACAAUCUACUCAAAAUUCGGACGAGAUUUGAUAUAUUUCGCCAUUAAUCAUUUGUUCCUUAGUGGCUUCCAACUGAUUUCAUCUUCAAUUUGCUUUAGUCCAUUGUCAUGACUCACAUGUUAAUUCGACGUUAUUAUACAAAUAAUUAUGAAUAAUUUUAUACAUAUUGAUAUGUUGUUAGUCUUAUAUUACUCCGAAGUUAGUAUAUACCUCGUUUAUUAGAUUUACUUCAUAUUGGUGUAAGUAAAGGUCGCACUACCCUAGCUAGUAUGGGUAAUCCGAAAGUUUGGUGAAAGUAUGGAAUGCAGAGAGACAGAGAGGUCUAAGGUAAAAGCUAGGUUUAGUAGGGAGAAAUGAUAAUAUUGCGUAGGGUGUCAUCAUCAUCAGUCCCAUGCAAAAUAAAUAUAUGCCCCUCUCCUAUCUUAUUAUUUAUUAAAGUGACUGCAUCUGCAAUAAUAAUAAACAAUAAGGACUCAAUAAUAAUAAAGACAGACUCUCCUCUCCCACCUUUCUCCCUCCUUCCCAGAGAGCUGCAGCAUCCAUUUUUAUUUCCUUCAGAUUAAAAACAAAAACAAAAAGAGAGCACGAAUCCCCAGAAAGGGCCGUACUCUCCUCUCCUUAUUUUAUUAUUAUUAAUUUCCAGUGUGAGAGAAGCAGCACAAUUCUCUUGUGGGAUUUUAAAGCACAGGGAGAAAUUGUUUUCGCCAUUGUUUUGUAUUAUUCAAAUGGAAAGUAGCAGCGAAGAAGAGGCAAAAGGAAUUAGCGGAGGAGAAGAAGGAGCUCAAUUCUCCUACCCGAUGAUCAACCCCCACCACCACCAAAAUCAGAUCCACCACAACACGAGCUUCCAAUCAACAGCGCCGCCGCCGCCGCCUUCCUCUGACAUGUUCAACGAAGAAAUGAUACAUCACUCCUCCUCCAUCUGGAAACCCUUCUUCCCCAAAGACGGCGGAAGCGGAGGAAGCGGAUCCCCAAAGUCCACCCCAGCAGGAGACGAUCAUGAGUUCUACCAGUUCAACCCAACGGCCGGGAUGAUGACGUCGACGGUGGAUGAGGAUCCGAACAAUAAUAACAAUCCGCCUCCACCGCCGCCAAGGAGUAGCAGUACUCUCUCGCUUUCUCUCUCCUCCACCAUCGGCCUCCAGCAACAGAAUCAGAUGGCGGCGGCGGCCAUGUUACAAACCGGCGGGAAUAUGAAUCCGAGUCUGUACGAGUUUGAAUUGAGAAGGUCAAGGUAUAUGGUAGCGGCGCAGGAACUUUUAAACGAGUUCUGCAGCCUUGGUAGUAGUACAAAACAAACAGAUGCCAAACAGCCCCUGAAAUCCAAACCCUUGGAUGUCGACGACGACGACGACAACGAUGAUACUUCUUCCUCCUCCUCCAGAAGGAUAAAGCCGUCUCCUGGUUCCCUUGAAUUUCUUGAGCUCCAGAAGCGCAAGACUAAGCUCUACUCCCUACUCGAAGAGGUAGUAUUCACUUUUUACAAACUAUUCUAAAUUGAGUUUUUGGCUUUCGAGAUGUCUUGUAUCCUUAGGAAACCUCUUGCAGUCUUGUUCCGUCACAAUAAACUCAUCAUCCAUCAAAAAAAUAUUUGAAAUUUUUACAAACUAUUCCCAAUUUUUUCUGCCUAGCUUUCAAUUAAUUAGCAUCAAUAUCCAUUCAUCUACUUCUUCUUCAUGAAAGGUAGUUGCCCGCUAAGCUUUCUUGUUGUUGAGCUAAUUUUGUGAGCAGGGGACCUCCCCGCCAUUAAUGCCCGCCUCCCCCUCCCUUUUGCUUCGUGACAAUUCCACCUUUUCCUUUAACUCUAUCCAACUUUUUUCUCCUUCUCUGUUAAUUUUUUCUUUCAGAAAGUUAAUAUUUUGUGUUGGGUUCAGGUGGAUAGGAAGUACAGGCACUACUGCGAGCAAAUGAAGGCGGUGGUGUCGUCGUUCGAGUCGGUGGCCGGAGCGGGGGCUGCGGGGGUAUACUCGGUGUUGGCGUCAAAGGCAAUGUCGAGGCACUUCAGGUGUCUGAGAGACGGAAUCGUGGCGCAAAUCCAGGCGACGAGGAAGACGAUGGGGGAGAAAGAUCCAGUGGCUCCGGGGACGACGAGAGGGGAAACGCCGAGGUUGAAGGUGAUAGACCAGACGAUAAGGCAGCACAAGGCGUUCCAGCAGAUGAACAUGAUGGAGUCUCAUCCUUGGCGCCCCCAGCGUGGCCUCCCUGAGAGAUCCGUCUCCGUCCUCCGCGCCUGGCUCUUCGAGCAUUUCCUCCAUCCGUACGUCGUAGUUCGUCCCUCAUCAUCUUUUGCUUAUAUUUCAAGAUUUUAGCUUUGUCACUCUAAUCACUCGCGAAUAAAAAAAUACUUAAAAUUUCAUUUCACAUUUCAUAUUUCACCUAUCAAACGAAUUCUUCAUAUGAGAUUUUAUUGUUUAUUAGUUUGUAUGGUUGUGUGUUGGGAGCUUUGAUAUUUUUCCAUGGGGGAGAUUCCAAUAUUUUGAAGGUUUUUGUCAUAUUAGCUUCAAUCAUUUAGGUGCUUCUCUCCUUUUUGUUUUCUCAUGCAUCCAAUUUGCAUUAUUUUGUUUGUAAAGAAGAUAUAUAUAUCUUCUUCUUGUUCUUCUCCCUUUUCUAUUUAUUUUUUUCUGUGGAGAUUUGAUUCUUUUUUCAAGUAGGGUUUUAUGUAUUGACUAUAAAUUUAUUUUAGUAGUUAGAAUUAUCGAGAUACAAUGGUUUUCUAUAUAAUAUGGUAUCUUCUCAAGUUUUAAUUUGAUGUUUUUACGGAAUCCUCCGCGCCUAGCUCUCGCACUAACACGCAUUCAUCGUUGAUUUUUGUGAAGGUACCCAAGUGAUGUUGAUAAACAUAUCUUAGCACGCCAAACAGGUCUCUCCAGAAGCCAGGCAAGUCUCCAUCCAUCCUUUCUGUUUAACUUCCAUCACCCUAUUUAAUUCAUCCAAUUUCUAUAUUAUUCAUUAAUAAAGAAAGGAACCCAUUUGUAGAUACAUUGAAUUAAAGAAAUAAAGAACAUUGCUACAAUAAUUUGAAUAUAACGUCUCAAAUGCUUGUUCCUAUGUAACAAAACUAUUAUUUGGGUGUUUGAAUAAUAGGUGUCCAAUUGGUUUAUUAAUGCAAGAGUGAGGCUAUGGAAGCCAAUGGUGGAAGAACUGUAUGUUGAAGAAACAAAAGACCAUGAAGACAAUCUCUUCAACAACAACAACAACAAUCUCAUGUUGACUUCCUCGGAUGGCGAAGUAGCUACUACCUUUGAUGACCACAAUCUUCAAGACGACGACAACAACAACAUGAACAUCCGGAUGCUUAGUAGUAGCACAAGUAAUUACCUUUCGUCGUCGGAUCAGAAGCCAACACAAGACCAGCUCAUCCGAUUAGACCCCGAUUGCCUCUCAUCCAUCAUCUCCAACUCUGAUCAUCAUAAGGCCUUCCAAAACCACCACCAAGAACAACAACAACAUAUGGCUCAAAACCAAAACCAUGCCGGGUUCGGAGCAUUUGGGGCAGUGGAGCUUGACCAUUUCUCGGCAUACAAUCACCAAAGUUCAACAUCUACAUCUCAUUUGCAUCAUCAUCAUCAUCAUCAUCAUCAACAGCAAUUAGGAGGAGGGGUGUCCUUAACCCUAGGGUUGCAACAGCAUGGUGGUGGGGGUGGAGGAGUUAGCUUGGCGUUCACUCCAGUAGCAUCACAAAGUAGUAAUCUUUUCUUCCCUAGAGACCACAAUAUCGAACAACAAGAACAGGUUCAUCAUCAUCAUCAAUACUCACUACUUGAAGGAGAUCAUGAUCAAGGACAAAACUUGCCUUACAGGAACUUGAUGGGUGCUCAGCUUCUACGUGACUUCGCCGGAUGAUGGUUACCGAUCCGGCCACCAGGAGGUGAUGAUCAUCAUUCAUGGUUGAAUAUUGUUAACUAGUGUUACUUCUUUUUUGGAUGAUUAUGGAAAGGAAAAAUAUAUAUAAAAUACACAUCGCUCAGUCCAUACGUAUAUAUACAUGAUUUUGGUAUAGUACGUAGGUGUUUCUACAUGCCUGAUGCGAUUAAGAUUAGUAGUUUCUUGCGUAACGGGCAUGAUUAAUAGGUACUUAAUGUUGAUUAAAAUGUGAAAUGAUAAAUGCACUCCUGCAGCCUGUAAACAAAUUAAAUAUUUUUCUCUUUUAUUUCUGUUAUAUGAUGCUAGUUUUUCUUUCUGGGGGUUGAUGGAGGGAUUUCCAGUAAUGGGUAGAAUCUUAUUUUCCCAAGAAUUUUCCAGAAAGUAAUGACAGAUUGUACAUAUACCUAGCUAGCUAGCCACUAGCUUUACUUGGGAAGAGGAGGGAAACGCCUCUCGCAGCUAUCAGAAUAUAAAUGAUUUUUUUAUCGUAUUUUUAUGUUUAAAAUUAUGAUAUUUGAGAUUAUAGAUUUUUAUUUAGAGGCCAGGAUAUAAUAUUCGAAAUUAGAGUUUACUAUUCAAAAUCUAGUAUCUAUUAAUUUUGAUAAUAACUCUCAACUAUGAAGGUGGUUUCUUUUCGAAUUUAUUGUGUACGCAAGGGCGAUGAGAAGACAGGGCAAAUUAAUUCAGCCAACACAAAUUUGGUGGGAGUUUUGGGAUUAUGACAAAUUCCUAAUCACAAAAAUAUCUCGUGGUCCCUAAUAUGUAUAUGCAUGAAUGUCAUAUAUACAAUAAAAAAAUAUUUCAAAAAUAAAAAUGCAUAAAGAUGAAUAAUAAACACGGGCAUUUUAUCCGAUUUGGCCGGACAUAUAUGAUGUGUAUCUUUUUAAAAUUUAGUUAUCAGAUAUAAUCUUAAUAAAUUAAUGAAGCAUAAGUAUUUAUAAUCAAUUAUCUAAUUUAAUGUUACAAUGUUUAUAAUAAUAUAUUUUAAUUUACUUAAUUUCGGUGGGGUAAUACCAGAUUAUAGUAAAUGUUAGGCUUGACAGUGGGGAUUAAUGAGGACGGAUACCCAAUAUCCAUGAAUCACUUAUUAUCUCCACCGGUUUUCACCAUCCCUGUCCUCGUUACACUAUCGAGCCAAAAUUAAAACCGUGACCGUUGACCACCGGAUUUAGAGGAUUACUACUAUACCGGGUAAAAUCCACCUCACACAAAAACAUAAGUAAUCAAACUGAAAAUUAGCAAAAGCCAUAAAAUUACUCAUUAAAAUUUUGAACAUCAACUCAAACUCUUGUUUUUGCAUUUGAAACAGAUUAACAACUUGGUUAAAAAAACUCAAAGUACCAAACUAAUAACCAAAUGCAAACAUAAAACUGAUGUAUUUGUUUUGUUUAUGAGUAUGAAAGGUGGUUGUUUUAAUUUGGGGACAGUGAUGGAUGGAGACCCUAAUAUCCAUCACCACUUACAAAUGAAUUUCGGGCAGCCCCGACCCGUACAAAACCCGGCCCAACUGGGCUUUCACCAUCCAAUAACAAUGGGUUUAGGGCGGGUUUCGAUUUUCCGGGCUUUUAUGCCAAGCCUACUAUAGGUUAAUCCCUUUGAAAACUGACAAUUUUGACAUCAUAAUUAAAUUUUUCUAAAUUGACUAAUAUUUGACAUGCAUAUUGAGAAUGACUAAAAAUUAAGGUUUCACCAUGUUAAAUCAUUUAAAUAAUAGCCAAAAUGAAGUUAAAUUUAUUUUUCAACAUUCUAAAGUAACACAAAGAAAAAUUGGUUUUUAACUACGUUUGAUUAUUAUUUUAAGGGUUACCAUAAUGAAACUUGAUUUUUUAGCUAUUUCCAACAUGCAUAUCAAAUGUAAGUCGAUUUGAAAAUUUGCAACUUUUCUUGUGAAAAUGGUCGAUUUUCAUAGGUGUUCCCUUUAGAAAUUGACAAUUUUGACAUGAAAAUUGAAAAUUGAAAAUUGGCUAUUGUUUGACAUGCAUGUUGGGAAUGACUAAAAGUUUAGAUUUCACCAUGUUAAGCCCUUCAAAUAAUAGUCAAAUCAAGUUCAAAAUUAUUUCAUAACACACUAAAACAAUAUCUUCUAAAAUUGAUUUUUAAAUACAAUUGACCAUUAUUUAUAGGGGUUACCAUGAUAAAACUUGACUUUUUAGCCAUUUCCAACAUGCAUGUCGAAUAGGAAACGAUUUNNNNNNNNNNNNNNNNNNNNNNNNNNNNNNNNNNNNNNNNNNNNNNNNNNNNNNNNNNNNNNNNNNNNNNNNNNNNNNNNNNNNNNNNNNNNNNNNNNNNNNNNNNNNNNNNNNNNNNNNNNNNNNNNNNNNNNNNNNNNNNNNNNNNNNNNNNNNNNNNNNNNNNNNNNNNNNNNNNNNNNNNNNNNNNNNNNNNNNNNNNNNNNNNNNNNNNNNNNNNNNNNNNNNNNNNNNNNNNNNNNNNNNNNNNNNNNNNNNNNNNNNNNNNNNNNNNNNNNNNNNNNNNNNNNNNNNNNNNNNNNNNNNNNNNNNNNNNNNNNNNNNNNNNNNNNNNNNNNNNNNNNNNNNNNNNNNNNNNNNNNNNNNNNNNNNNNNNNNNNNNNNNNNNNNNNNNNNNNNNNNNNNNNNNNNNNNNNNNNNNNNNNNNNNNNNNNNNNNNNNNNNNNNNNNNNNNNNNNNNNNNNNNNNNNNNNNNNNNNNNNNNNNNNNNNNNNNNNNNNNNNNNNNNNNNNNNNNNNNNNNNNNNNNNNNNNNNNNNNNNNNNNNNNNNNNNNNNNNNNNNNNNNNNNNNNNNNNNNNNNNNNNNNNNNNNNNNNNNNNNNNNNNNNNNNNNNNNNNNNNNNNNNNNNNNNNNNNNNNNNNNNNNNNNNNNNNNNNNNNNNNNNNNNNNNNNNNNNNNNNNNNNNNNNNNNNNNNNNNNNNNNNNNNNNNNNNNNNNNNNNNNNNNNNNNNNNNNNNNNNNNNNNNNNNNNNNNNNNNNNNNNNNNNNNNNNNNNNNNNNNNNNNNNNNNNNNNNNNNNNNNNNNNNNNNNNNNNNNNNNNNNNNNNNNNNNNNNNNNNNNNNNNNNNNNNNNNNNNNNNNNNNNNNNNNNNNNNNNNNNNNNNNNNNNNNNNNNNNNNNNNNNNNNNNNNNNNNNNNNNNNNNNNNNNNNNNNNNNNNNNNNNNNNNNNNNNNNNNNNNNNNNNNNNNNNNNNNNNNNNNNNNNNNNNNNNNNNNNNNNNNNNNNNNNNNNNNNNNNNNNNNNNNNNNNNNNNNNNNNNNNNNNNNNNNNNNNNNNNNNNNNNNNNNNNNNNNNNNNNNNNNNNNNNNNNNNNNNNNNNNNNNNNNNNNNNNNNNNNNNNNNNNNNNNNNNNNNNNNNNNNNNNNNNNNNNNNNNNNNNNNNNNNNNNNNNNNNNNNNNNNNNNNNNNNNNNNNNNNNNNNNNNNNNNNNNNNNNNNNNNNNNNNNNNNNNNNNNNNNNNNNNNNNNNNNNNNNNNNNNNNNNNNNNNNNNNNNNNNNNNNNNNNNNNNNNNNNNNNNNNNNNNNNNNNNNNNNNNNNNNNNNNNNNNNNNNNNNNNNNNNNNNNNNNNNNNNNNNNNNNNNNNNNNNNNNNNNNNNNNNNNNNNNNNNNNNNNNNNNNNNNNNNNNNNNNNNNNNNNNNNNNNNNNNNNNNNNNNNNNNNNNNNNNNNNNNNNNNNNNNNNNNNNNNNNNNNNNNNNNNNNNNNNNNNNNNNNNNNNNNNNNNNNNNNNNNNNNNNNNNNNNNNNNAUUUUGACAUGAAUUUUUUUUAUUUUUAAAUUGACUCAUAUUUGACAUGCAUGUUAGGAAUGGUUAAAAAUUAAAGUUUCGCCAUAUUAACCCCUUCAAAUAAUAGUCAAAUAAAGUUCAAAAUAUUUUUUAACUAUGUUUAAUCAUUAUUUAUGAAAAUUACCAUAAUAAACCUUAAUUUUUUAAUCACUGCCAACAUGCAUGUCAAAUACUAACCAAUUUAAUAAUUUUUAAUUUUUAUAUCAAAAUUAUCAAUUUCCAAAAAAAUUAACCUAUAAAAAUCAAAUUAUUUUCAUAAUUUUAAUAGUCAGUAUGCAAAUUAAUUUGUUACCUCGUCUCCCGACGUGAAGAGAGGUAUAAAAAUGGUUCUAGUUGCUGCAAGGAGUAUACUAACAAGUGAAAACCCUCAAUUUGAGAACCAAACUAAAAAAGACAAGUUGGACUAGUGGGCCUGAAAUUGAACGUGAACAUAUCGUCAGAAAAUUACGGCCCACUUCCUAUGGACCAAGAUUUAUCAAUUGGCCCAGUUUGCAGUGUGGGUUAUGAUAAGUGUUUGGACAACUAGAUCACACAAAAAAGCUAGUUACAACGACAAGUCGUUUUUUAUGAGGUAUCAUGUUAUAGUUUGAUAGGCAAGAGAUAAGAUAAUAUCAUCAGAUUCUGCCAGUGAAUGCGGAUGAAGGAGGUGCUUUUGCUCGAACUGUUGGCUAUACCCAACGGCCUCUCCUUGGCCAAGAAUUUCGGGUACACCCAGGUUAGUUUGGAGUUGGACUCGAUGAACAUAGUUAAGUUAAUUAGAGAUAGGGAUCCUCUUUCCCAUCCGUUUAUAGAUAUUGAGACAUGGAUGUAGAUCUAAACUACGAAAAUUGCUGUCAUAAUCAUUAAGAGCUUGUUGAACCAUAGUAUGGACAAUACUAUUAUCCGGACAAAAAACAUGAUUUAAAUAAGAACGGAUUUGUGAUGUGUGCGAUCGUCUGUAUUGUUGCUAGGAAAACAGACCCGCCGCCAUCUUGAAGCACCAUUCCAAUUGCCCCAUCACCCUGUCUAGUAGCCAAGGCCUCCCAGACAACUGCAUCCACCGAUAUGCGCUAGUCACAGUGAUGACAACUAGUUACAAGUAUAGUCUAUGGAUAUAAUAUUAGCUCAUAACGUUGAAAUUAAAGAAAAGUCCAAAUUAACAUUGGCCAAGUUGAACAAGAAUUCUGUCACCUAUAUAAACCCUUCACAACUCAUUCCAACGAGGGUUUUCCAUUAUCUUUAAGAUCGAGAGCGGUCAUUUUUCAUAGGAGAGUUCGUCGCCCCCAACCCUAGCCAUGACCAACACAAACCCCGCAAGUAUGUAUGCCGCCAUCACUGCCGACGCCGCAAUCAUGAACUUAGGUCUGGCAAUUCGGUCGAAAUCGGUUGAUCGAUUUCGAAUUCGCCUUAAAUCGUUGCCGAUUUCAAUUUCGAACUCAAAGAGCGUACACCAACAAUUCUGACAAGAGCCGUCACUGGUCAGGGACCGAUCAUUGAAACUGAAACUGACACAACGAAAGCUAAUACAAGUAAGAGAAGACGCCACAAACUGACAACAUCAUACCCUAUGAAGAUGAACAACGAUCCUUCAAAUCUAAAAAAAAAAGCAAUCAAGAAAUGUUGUCACUGCCCAGCCUCCAAGAAAGGGCAAACCAUUCAUAUUGACUGGUGGUGUCCCCCUUGCCUGGCUAAGUUUUGUUUUCCUUUUUCCGCUUUUCAGUUUUCGUUAGCUAUUUUGGUGAACUUUGUAUGAUCGUAAUUUUUUUGAGUGUAUGACCGUAAUUUUCAAAAGGGACGUCACUCAUCUUUGCAUUACACUUGAAAAAACAAGUUUAACUUCUAAGUUCUUAUAAAAAUUCUUAAUUACACUUUUAACUUCGAAGUAUUUUUUGGAUCCGAUUUCAUCUCAAUUUCUGCUCGAAAAACGAUGCCAAAUGAAAAGCACAGAAAAUCAUGGUGUUGGAAGGUAGAAGUAUAAUGGAUGAGAUUGGUAAUAGUGGGUGGAUAUAUAAUGAGUUUUUCCCCUACUGGGUUCCUGAAGCAACGAAAUCGCGAAGACAUAAUUGAAGGUUUACAGGGGACAGAAACAGUACCAACCAAAUUGUCUAAAAAACAAUAUCAUCAACUACUUGUUGUACUGUGUGGUCUGAAUUCAGAAUCUGAUUGGUGCGGAUCCUUCUCGACUUGGCUCGCCACUACGCUAUGUUCCCACCGACACUCUUGCUUUGCCCCCACCAUUCUUGGGUUUUCAACUUCUCUCUGUUCAUAACAAUACCAAGUUCUUCACUUUGGAAGCAAGUAACCCAGUACAAACGCAGACUUUAAAUUCUUAAAAUUUCAUCUGACAAGACUCAAGAGUGACAACUAGUCAACUGUAAAGAUUGAAAAUAGACGCCUUUGUAUAUUAGACUUAGAACCCAUGAACCAAAUUCAGGUUCCAGGUCACCAUUUGCCAUAAGCAAUUCCAUCAUCUUCACGCACUGCACUUGUAGAAAAAAUGGCUCCUCUGCUAUUUCAUGGGUUUCUGUAAACAUCACAUUCCCCAAGUUUGAAAGAGAAUGUUAAAGUAAUGAAAAUGUGUGAAAAGUUUGCUGAAAAGAAACUAAGCUUUCCAAGUAUGGUCAGUUGAGUAGCUUUCAAUCUCAUUCACGUCACAUGAUUUAUACUUCUUUAAUUAGCACAGUUGGAUGCAUACUUCAAAACUGCAUAAUACUUUAUUUCUGUGCAAAGUUGAAAAGAAUAAGUUAAGACUACAAGUUAAAAACUCAAGUACAUAUAUAUAACUUGGGUGUCAGAAUGUGAAGUUACAGUUUCAGCAUCCGGAUUCCGUAACGUUAUCUUUUAUUAGAAAUGACAAGCAUCAAUAUUCAAUAAUGUUUUAGCUUUGAGAAAAAGAAUGCUGGGCUUUGGAUUUCUGGGAAAGAAACAACAGAAAAACCAGUUCUCUGACGACUGUAGCAGUAAUAUUCCAAACUCAAUUUGGAACAAUGUAUGGCUUAGUUUGUAUUUGUUCUUCUUCACUGUCUCUGGUCCUGCUUAAUUCCAACCACUAAUGUGGCAGACCCACCAUUACUUAAUAAUAGUAAUUGUCUUUGUUUAAUGUCGCUUAGGUCCUGAAGUUUGUCUUCUUAAAUUUUCCAUUUCUCGACAGUACAGUACAUAGCUAUGGUACACACUUCCACAGCUGGAUAAAACCCUACCCUUUAGGAACCUAAGAAACUAGUACCACUGAUUCAUUUGCCUCUUGGUGUCUAAUUGAAUAUCAUACAUACUUUGCUAUGUAUAUUUUAGGUUUUUUUUAUAACGAAGAACUCAUUUGUUAGGUAUCACUAAAUGAUCUUGAGGUCAGGCAAACUUUUAAGUUGUUGGCCAUCAGUUCAUGUGAGACCGAUGAUGUCAUCACAAGACUUAUCUAAAAUGAAUACACAUACUAGACUUCGAACACGAGAUCUCAAAUAACAAAGUUAGGUGUUCCAACCUAUUUGACCAUUUUAGUAUUUUUUUAACAAUUUAACUUAUUGAGACGAUAAUCAUGAUGUUCACCACUUUCCUAGAUUACAACCACUUUUUGUUUUUGGAUUAUUCAUGACAUAUCUCGUUUUAAAUUUUACAUUAUCCAUUUUAUCUUUUGUAUGAGUUGUUUAGAAUUUUCAAAAUCGUGAAUAAAAACAGCACGGUUGGCUUCAGUUUUACCCAUUAAAUAAUGUUAUUAACUCCAUGAUAUGAUCCAACGUUUAGAUUAUGUCACAUGCUGUACUUCUCAAUUAGUUAUCUGAGAUAAUCCAACAAAAUUCCUCAAAUCAGCAAAUCUUAGCUCACCACAUGCUUUAUAUUCUCCAAAGAUCCAAUUUCUUGACGAAACCCAGAACUCCUGGAGAUUCCUCCCCUUAUUUUUAUAUCGUUUUAUCGUUUUUUAAUUUUUUUAUAUCGUUUUUUCGUUUUUUAAUUUAUAUAUAAAAAAAUUAAUGUAAACUACAUAGCUAGAAACGAUUAUGUAUAAGAACGUAUUGAACUACGACCUUUUAUACACCACUUACUAACCAACACUUGCUGGAUGUUUUUUUUUAAUCUCUAGACUGAUUACUGAGUAGUCUAAAAGUUACAAAAAUUUGGGCACCCUCGACGAUAAAUUAAUGAACUAACAUUUAAAUUUCAAUGGAGGAAUGACAACCAAUUCUGAUCAGGAGCAGAGCAGAGCAUCAAUGGCUUCUUCUUCUUCCUAAUAUUAUACUUCACUGACUUCACCAUCUCUACAUUCCCCUACAUCGAUCGUAAUGGUUCCUUUCUUCUUUAUGCUCAUCACCCUGCAACAGUUCCUUCUCGGAGACUGCAGAAAAAUAACUGCACAUAUCAAAUACACAUCAUAACAUUUUGUAGUAAAAGUUCAACUCUGUUUUUUUCUUCACUUACCCUGUUCCACAGAUGAGGGUCCGGCCGUUUGUACACAAUCGCCAUCGUAAUAUUGGACGGAUCGGCCAUCUUCCACCGGCAUUCCGGGUGAGGAACACGAUGCUUUUCGUACUCGCUCACCGUGGUGUUCAACGAUUUCACGAAUCUCGUCUUCGACAUGUAAAACACAAACGGCUUCUGGCAAGGGUUCGUGCUGACUGGGCGAGUGUUGAAAGCAUACGCCGUGUAGUCGGCUCUUCUGUACCAAUUUAAAAACGUCCUCGAUGGCAUUUCUAUCUCACGAGGCGAGGACACUCCCCGGAAGAUCUGUACGGCGAACCCCCACGAGACUGACACGGUCCAGCUCCUGGACUUGUCGUAGCAGAUCGAUUGCUGCAUUAGCCCGGCCGAGUCCAUCUGCAUUGGCACGGUUAGCCUCUGAAGCGCCUCGACUCGGGUUGCGUUUGGGAAGAUGGGUUCGACCACGUCGAGGUGAUGCAGGGAUACUAAUGGCGUCACCGGGUGUGAUGCUAGUAGUCCAAAGAGAUUCCCGUACACAUCAUACUGCAUGCAUCAGAAAAUAGCUGUUAAAAUCCGUUAAAGAAACUCAUCUACGGUAUAACUAACUUUCCAUAGUGCUGAAAUUUCAGUUUUCUGCAACAGGAAUCUGAAAGUUUCCAAAUCAUUGCGCAAAAUAACAAACAGAUUCAGGGGAAUGCUUGCUCAAUUUUUGGGAGAGUGGGAAACACGCGCAGGGAUGGGGGUACAGACGAAAAGGAUUGGAUGGUGUAGCGUGGACGGAGGCAAGGGUCCACGUGGGCCCAGUCCCGGUGACCGGCCACACGAGUCAAAUACGGACGGAACAGUGCUGACCUCAUGACUUGUUACCAUUUCCACUUCCGGUAACAAUUACCAAUGAUUAUAACAGAAAAGAAAAAUCCAGUAACCCGAGUCAGACCGAGUCACCGCCACGAAGAAAUUAAACCAAGGCCGAGUCGAAACUCGGAAGAAAUCGUAUGAAAUAAGUUCAAUUUAAUAAAAAUCAAAGCUUGCUUCUGUAAAUUAAGUUAACCCAGGCUGGAUGCUGCUCAUUCAGUGCACGAAUUUAAUGCAAAUGCCCGGAAAAAAUGUCGGCCGGACCGGAAAGGUAAUUUCAAGCUGGAAGAAGCUAAAGAAGGGAACAAAAAAAAUUUGAAAAAAGCGAACCUGGUGAAAGCCGACUUCCUUGGUGAGGGGAACGCCGAGCUCGGCCAUACAAGCCUGCAUUCUAUCGUCGGAGCCGUAAAGACCAGGGUAGCGCUGGAUACAGCGGUCCUGCAUCUUCUCGAGCGCGACGGCGAGCGGGUAGCUGAUGGCGAACCCGCCGCCGCCGUACGCCAUUCCGUAAGAGAAAUAGAUGUUCUGCAAAUGAGACUCGGACAAGCUCCCGAUGUAAUAGUACUGGGUGUGGUCGUACUUGCGGAGGAUCUGGACCAGAUUCUCGGUGACGAAGACGGUGUCGUCGUCCCCCAUCACGAACCACCGCACAUUGUCCAGCCCCAGGCGGAGCGUCUCGGAGACAAUCCGCGAGAUCCGAAUCGCGGAGCGAUGCCCCUGCCUGUUUUUGUACACGAACUUGGAUGUAUCGCCGGAGAUUUUAAUCGGAGGGAGUCCGCCGUCUUCGCGGUCGUCUCUUUUGUCGGUAGCGACCUCGUCAUCCAUCCAAACAACGCCCCUCAUUUUGUCGGCCUUGUACCAAAUCUUGAUGUAGUUCUUCCUCUGCUCCCAUAGCUUGGCCGAGGCAGCGAUUCCGAAGACUAUAUGCUGCAAAUCCGUCUUGUUAGAAGAUGACGCCGUCGUCGACGUCGUCUCCUCGAUCUCGCGGCGGCGGGCGAGAGAGACUUCCGUAGCAGCGAUGUCGGAGUGGUUGUUGGUGGUGGCGAGGGAGAGGUGGCGGGUGGAGGAGGAGAAGGGCUCGUGGUUGCAGGAAGUGGAGACGAGCUUCAGAGUGUAGAAAAUGUAGGUGACGGUGACGAAGAGCAAGAGGGAGGCCAUGAGCUUGGGGAGGAGCCGAGCUUGAGAACCGGGGCCGGAGAUGGAAUUGGGGUGAGAAGGGCUCCUCAUCUGAUCCCAGAUGAUCUUCUCUGGAUCUUUCUGGCUACCUUUCAUUGUAGAAUGUGUGAAUGAUUAGCUGGAGGGCAGACAGAGGAUUUGAUUUGAUUUAAAUAUAUCAGCCGGAGAUUGGGAUGAUUGAGGAAUUAGGAAACAAUCAGUCAAUCAAUCUAAAUUGGGGGAAGCAAUGAGGACAGGGGAAAUUAGAGAAAAUGGGAUUGAAAAUGGUGAUGGAUCAAGUUGAGGGCGGAGAAUGAAUUUGAAGAAAGGGGUGAAAAGGGUAAAGCUUGGAGAAGAGGAUGAAGAUGAUUGAUGAGAGAGAGAGAGAGAGAGCAUGCAGAGAGAUGCAGAGCUGGCAGGUUGCAGAGACUCACUCUCUCUCCUCCUCCUCCAAAGUAAAAAUUUGUGUAGAGGACGGGCAAUCCCAUAUCUACUAUUUAUCUUUUGCACCCAUUUUUGUAGGAUUUUCUUUUUUUACUGUCUUUGUUUCCUUCCUACUUGGGGUAAAAAAUGUGAAAACCAAGGUGUCAUGGUUGAUUAAACUUCCAUAUAAUCAUAUUGAGAAAACUCCUACUUAACCAAAAAAUUAGUGUGCAAUUUUUUCAAAUUCCAAUUGGAUAUAAAACAUUUAGUUUUAAACUCAAGUGUUUAGAUUGUUUGAGUUUUAAACUUGUUAAGAGUUCGUUGAAAGUGUAUUGCUUUUAUAAUCGAGAGAGUGUUAGUGAUCUUGUUCGUGAUUGGAUUUUAUAUUUAAAUAUUUCUCCUAUAUAUUAUUGUUUGAUUUUGUCACAUUCUUUGGUGUAAUUCGCAUCACAUUGGAACUCUACUUACAAACCAAACCCACACUAAUAGUUUUUGUGUUCCUCACUUGAUCCUUGCGGAACAACUCACUGAAUUGUCAGUUGUGUUUUGCUGAACCAUCAAACUAGUAGAACCACCAUCUUGAAUCCAACAUCAACUUCUAACAUAAUUAGAUGUUAAUAAUUCUUUGGUGUCGGCUAUGCUUAAUAUAAGUAAGUUGUGAAGAUUAAGUCACUCACCAUGAAUCCCAUUUUCUCGUAUAUCGUCACAAUCUCAACAUUUUAGAUAACAUGUCAUUGUUUUGAUAAACCAAUUCAUACUAUUUGAAAGAUAUAAAAAGACAAAGCACACUUUCACUUAUAUACAUAAUGCAAGAAGAAGUAAUUAACAAACGUGUAAAAAGGACACUAAAUUGUCUCAUUAGAAAGAGAAUUAAACGAUAUAAACAAUAUUAACUACAAUGGAAAGUCUCACCCUUAAAUUAAUCUUUUUGGGUAUUUGGAAAACUGACCUACAAACUAAUUACUUUGUGCUAUUAUCUAAUCAAGGGAGGGAGAAGAGGAAUAGACAUAGAGUCAAUAAUGAUCAAUGUGUAUUUUUUCCCUUAGGGUAAAGUUGGGAAAUCAAAAGAGUAAACAUCUUUUGGGGUUGUCUAUCCGAUUUGGCUUGGAGACAACUUUAGACAAUGAACUUGUGGGGUUGUUCUUCUCACCCCAAAUUCAAUGGCAACACUUAACUUUUGGGGCACCUCUUCUCCUAGUGUCCUUUUAGAUUAUUGGGGGAAUGUAAAGGGAACAAUUACUUACUCCUUUUUCUUCUAUUAGUAUGGGUGCUUUUUGAUUAACUUGCAUGCAUGUUUCUCCUCAAUAUGUGUUACUUUUCUUACUACUGCCCAUUGCUUGUCAUGUGAACCAAAAGAAAUCAUGUUUGAUACGAUAACUUCUCGAGUGUGUUGGUGUCGUAUGAUAUGAAAUUAAUGUUUGAACACUCUCUUUCAGUAGAUUGAGUCAUCGAGAUUUAAUGGUUCGUGAUACAGUAUUAAAGUUGUUAACAAAAAAGGCUAGUUUGAUAAAGCAGUUAUAAUGGGCCUCGACCAACCAUCUCGGUUUCCAGCCCAAGAGACUAGCAAGCGGGGCCACCCGGUGUUGGGGACGUGCGAUCGUUAGUCAACCAUAAGGAACUUCAUAGCCAUUAACUCUAACGGAAAUCGGAACUUAAAUCCCUACCACCUAUAUAAACAAAGCUCACAAUCAUACACAAGAUCAUUUUCAUUGCAUUUAAUCCUAUCAAUAUUAUACACAUUUUUACUCUUUUGGCCUUUGGGGCACCCCCAGUGUGUACUUCUAUAUGUUUCUCGCGUCUUUGUUCAUCUUGUUUAGCCCUUAUCCCACAAACAAACACUAACCCACACUCUCGCAUACGAGAUUGUUCCCGACGGUUUUUCACAACCUCCCCACACAGAGCAUCUCAACACAUCCUAUCUUCCAUAUCAGAACAACAAUAGUCUCUAAUUUGUUAUACAAGAGUUGCCAAAUUGUAACAACUUGUAACCUCUUUCAUAAUUUUGAUUUAAGCCAUGGCAAUGCAUUCACCCAAAAGGACACGAAAUCAAUCACCAUUAAGGGUGGGGUUAGUGUAAACCCAGCCAGGAUAAAAUCAAUACCCAACUUCUUCAAUUCCCCGACUUUUUCUUUGUUCAUAGAAGCCACCAACAACCACCUUUCCAACUUUGCCACACUCCAAUUUACCUAAACCAAAGGUAUCCAUUGAUGGAUUGCUCAAGGGUUUGGACGAAAGGCUUUAAAUACUGGUGGUAGGUGGAGGACGAAAGCAAUAGUGGGAGAGUUUCAGAAGCCUAUGCAGUGCAGCCCGAUAAAGCCUUGGGCCUAAAAAUCUGAAUGACCAAGGCGACGAAGGCCGAACUGAUCCACUGGGCCAGAUAUGGAUCACUUCGUUCCUUUAGGUCCAUUACAAAAUAGUAACAACGGAGCAACUCAGUCGAAGAUGCACAUUGAGAUUACAAGUAGUUGAAGUUAUUCAAGUGGUAGAGUUAUGUAUUGGUGUUUCCGAAAUUUUGAGUUUAAAUCUAACACCCUUUAUAAAUUGACAUCAAGAAGUCAGUACUCCGGCAAGAAAAAAACAUCACUUAACUGAGACAGGCAUAUAUAUGAUCCAUUAUGGAUGUAGCGACAUAAGUAGUAUUAUUGUCUCAAACCUGCUGAAAUUUGUAAGAAUAUACUUAGUAUGAAGUAUGAACAUUGGUUUCGAAAAUUUCACAUAGAAUUAAGUUGAUUAGGACUAUGUGAUUAUUCCGCCAAUAGUUUAGGUUGAUCCACCUCCAGUUCUACCAUUAAUCAUGGUAGUGGACAUGAGACUCAAAGCUGCUCAUUACACGGCUAAGAAAGACAUAUUUAUCGAUCAUGGACACACAUGGGCGGAAUUUGUAUUAUUGACAAAAUGCUUAGUGUGAACUUUGAUUUUGAGGAUAAAUUAUAUAGAAUCAAAUCGAUUGAAGAUCUGGUGACCCUUGAACGGUAGCCUAGCUAAGUUGGCCUCCAGUUCAUCCAUCGGUCAUGGUACAAAAAAAUGAUGAGAAAACCAAAACAAUAACAGGGUAGACAUCAGAAACAAUAAGGGGAUCUAAAAUGUACAGAUGGUGAGGGGAGAAGUAGAAUCUGCUAUCCAUAAACAGAAGGUGAAGAAGGCCUCGAAAGAAGAGAAACAAUGGACUGAAGAGCAGCAGCUGCAAUUCUCAACUUGAUCUGACCUCUCCUUGUCGGUACCCUCGUCGCCAAACCACCAAUGCUUGCAUUCUUCUUGUUCAUCAUUGUUCUUCUUUUGCUCCUGUGGUGGUAGUAGAUGACGAUGUUUUGGUUGUUUGAAAGCCUCUUGCCAAAAUGCCUGCUUUAUAUACAAAUCAUACGGCGCUAGUGAGGUGGAGGAAAUGUGUAAUUGGUAGAGAGGUUGGGGAACAUUGCCAGCUAGCUCUGUGUCUUAAUUUUGGUUCUGUCUUGAGAGUUUCAGUUCAGACAAAGCUGUUUUUUUAGUUGUUGGUGGGUUGAUCAAUCAAUCAAUCACAGUUCAAUAAUUGUGCUUUGUGUAUGAACACGUGCAGUCUUG
RNAcentral lists this long non-coding RNA (65425 nucleotides) under Linum usitatissimum (flax). Its description in RNAcentral is "long non-coding RNA (LUSI_LNC002902)". The stretch from base 41577 to 41649 matches the Rfam family "tRNA". The record is from RNAcentral. Lineage: Eukaryota; Viridiplantae; Streptophyta; Magnoliopsida; Malpighiales; Linaceae.